CGCCUCCGUCGCCCCCCUUCCUGUAAUUGACGUCCUCCCCAUCCCCACAAUUGGUACAACUACUCAUUUCAAGAUUCUUUGUUGGAUUUCGGUGCGCUCUUGAGAGCCGAGGGGGUGUGGUGCUGGAACGGAAUGUUUCGUUGCGAGGAUGUCACACAAUUCUUUCAUAGAUGAUGAGAUUGGUUGGCUUGGUGCUUUAGAUUUCGGACCUCAGCUGUCCAGAUUGGUUGCCAAAUGUAGGUUGAGAUCGUGUAAAACAGCUUGUAAAUUUCGGCUAAAUACAUUUUGCAGUGAUCUGGUUGUGCUUGUCUAUAAAUUUCAGCUUUCAUGAUCUUACUAUUGUGGUUUGUGUGGUUGUCUUUAUAUUUGAGCUUCAUGAUUGACAGACGAGAGCUUUUUAAAGCACUUCAGCAAAUUGCUUUUCAUUGAAAUUUACUUCCGUUGUAGGGUUGCAAUGGAGCCAACUCGACAUUUUUCUCUUUGUUAAGAAUAUGAAAUUUAAAAUGGUAGAGCAGCUAUAACUUGAGCAUGGACCUGACACCUUCACACAUAAUGGAUGUAAUCAGAGGUUGUGAUGUUCAUGUGGCCAUAAGUUCUUAUGUCAGUAACAUGUAUUACUCUUUGUCUCUCUCUCUCUGAUCUAUAUUAGGAGCUCUCAAUUCCUUUCCAUUUUAUGUACUUGAGAUAAAGAAGUGUAAGGAGGAGUAAAACAGAGAAAUGUGGGUAUUUGCAUACAUGAACCAAAACAUGUUAAAAGGAAUGUCAGUGCAUCCUAGAGGUGUUCUUCAUGGCUGGUAUGCUGGGAUUGCCAUUGACUCAUACGUUGAUGCUUCUGGUCGUGUAGAACGGUGCAGCAAAUAGCCCUGCACCUUAUGAAGGACAGCUACCUCCUGUGUUUUGCCAGGAAGGCAAUAUCGAACCUCUUGUGUCGCUUAUUUAGUCUGGUGAGCACUAUUCCUUGUGUUUUGUCAUUGUUUUCUUGUACUAGAUAACACUGAGAAAUUCUGUGAUAUGCUUCAUUAUCCUAUAAAUAUCAUACUUAUAAAAGUCAGCAGUCUUCUCUUAUAGAUGGACAGACCCAGUGCAUAGAAGCUCCCACACAAGGUGGGGCUGGGGAGGGAUUAUAGGAACCUAGUCUUACCCCUGCAAAGUGCAAUGCAGAGAGGCUGGUUCGAUGGAUUUCAUAAAAAAAUAGCAAAGAGCAAACAUAGCAUACCUGUUACUGUGCCACCUAUUGUGUUCAGAUGGUUUAUAUUUCGGUUCUUGCUUUCACCAGAGUAUCUAUUUAGCAUCCUGUCAUACUGAUCUUCCCUUAUGCAGCUUUAAAUUAACAGACCUGUUUUGACAUUGAAAUUGUUGUUGACUACAUAAAUUUUACCUGAAAGGCUGAAAUGCAAUUUAUGGUGCAGGCAAGAAUUGCUUAUUCACACUCGACUACAUAUUUACAUUGUGUCCCAACUUCUAGAAACAGUCCUGUCUCUUCCUAUGAUUUUAGAGAUCUAUGUAGUCCAAGUACAACUAGAGUAAAUCAAAUGUAGUUUGUUGUUAAAUCGAAUGUAUCUUGCAGCUAAGUCAAAUGCUAAGUUUGAAUAGCAGAGAUGGUUUCUGCUCCCAAGAAAACAGUAUGUUUUUCUCUAUCGAUUCGUUGCAGGUCUGGCUUCCUUUAUCCAAGCUGUUGCGGAGUUGAUGAAGUCAAUCAAUGGAAAUUUGUGUUGCUCUCAGGAGUCCACACUUUUCUGAUUAGCUGAUUCCGUGCAAGCAAGGUUGCCCGUUAGUCAAACCUAAUUUCUAUGUCUGCUAAAUAUCAAAAUUUCUGUGUCACUUAUUUUGUAGUGUGUGUGCAAUUUGGAACUUAUGUAUCUGGUUGGUUUGGUCAUUGAUCUUAUUUAGUUUUAUUCAUGUUGCUUGGAGUAAUAUUUUGGCACAAAAACCUGUCCAUUUCAAUCAUUCUCUUGUUUAUAUUGUUCAUGUAGAAGGAAUUAUUUUCUUACUUUAUUUGUACUACAUUCAUUCUGAUUUUCUAACAGGACUAGACCUUUUUUCCAAAGUAGCUGUUCUUCCAUUCAGAUCCAUAAUAAGAUUCUGAAAAGCUAGUUUCUGUCGUAACAGACUUAGGUUUUUCAUUUGAUGAAAUCAAAAAUCUUUACCUAUAAUAAUAAAGCAAAUUGGGUUUCUUUCGUCCGUCAUGGCAUUUUUCAGAAAAGUCCCUCUAUUUCAUAGAAUUCAACCCGCAGUUCUGUUUUAAGUUAAAACGCACAAAAGUCCCUGUCUAUUCUUGAAAUCAACCCGCCGUCCGGAUUUAAGUCACACCUGAACCGUUAUUUUACAUUUUCAAAAAAAAAACCCUGAUGUUUUAGGUAAUUCAUUCGCAGAUCAUAUUUAACUCAAACAAAUGCUUUUUAAAAUCAUCCAUAUCAUUUAAACCGUAACUCCGAUUUGAACAUGUUAUAUAUGAAAUUUGAUUAGAAAAAUAUGUAGAAUAUGAAUAUGAGAUUAUUUUUUCCUAUUAAUUAUUUUAAAAUAUUAUUUUAGAAUAUAUUUGAGUCAAACCAAAUGAUUUUCUAAAUUAUCUGUAUCUUUUAAACCGUAACUUCGAUUUUAACAUAUUAUAUAUGAAAUUUUAUUAGAAAAAUGUGUGGAAUCUAAAUAUGACGUUAAUUUUACCUGUUAAAUAUUUUUUAAAUAUUGUUAUGGAAGCAAACUUAUAACUUAUAGCGCAAGAUUUGUUUUUUCAUACCGGUGGCGAUCUGGAUUGCAAUAAACACCCCACUAUAACCAUAUACGAAAAAGAAAAAAAUAUCGAUAACUACACAUGCAUACCUCUGAAAAAUGUCGCAGGGAAAACAACGGAUUUCUCAACGCGAGAGUGUGAGAAAGCGAGCGAGAAAGGGGGGGGGGGAGGAGGGAGGAGAGAGGGAGAGAGAGACGCCUUAGGAUUAACCAUAUUCAACACACGUGUUUUGUUGUUUUGUGUGAAUACCGAGGCCAUCACCGGCGAGAGUGAGAAGGAGGAUAAGCGGCAAUACAAAUAUGAUGCCUCGCAAAAAUAAAAGAGAUGGACCUAUUGUAGUCUUGAGUGAUGGUUGUUGAGUUAAGAGCGUGUGUUAUGUUUUCUCUCCCGUUGCAACGCACGGGCUCUUUUGCUAGUAUAUUCUAAUGGGAUUCGUUUUCAAAUUUGGAGAUCAGUACCUGAGAUCUCCAGAUAAGAAUGAUAUUGAUUAAAAAAUUGAAGGUAUGAUACUGAUUAUUUGUGAUUAUUGAAAAAAGGGACAUGUGGGAGAGAGAGGAGCAAAAAGAAAGAGAUCUUAGCGCUAAAGCCCACCCUCGCGAUACUAUCUCCUCCCGUUGCCAGGACCGGCCUUCCUCCCACCUUUGCCCUCGUCGCUGCCAUAGGGCGCGGCCAGGCGAAGCCUGACCAGCAACAGCAGCGGGGAGUUCUCCUCUCGCGCGACAGUACGGUGUUGGCCGAUCCUCUCGAGUCGAGACGAGGGGCUGGCGAGGGGCUCUGUGGCGUGGCGGCUCUCGGGCAGGUCCUUGGCGCGCGGGGGAGCAAUGGCGUGUGGAGCUGGCAUGUGGAGCUUCGUGUUGGGUGGAGCGCGCCUGGGCCAUGGCGGUUGGAUCGGCGGCGCAGGCUGUAGGAUGUUGUGAUGGGUCGCGGCAGUGGUGGCCUACAACAGCGGUAGCUCCCUGCUACUCGUGUGGCAGUUCUUGGCCACGGAGGGGUGGGGCGAGCUUAUAGUAGUUGUGGCGGCGCGGCGGCCAGGGUCCAGCUGGCGGCGUAGGGUGGAGGCAACACCUUCCCUUCUCCUGGAUCAGAAUCAGCGGCGCGCGGGAUUGGGCGAGUACCAGUGGUGCUGGAUGCACGCGCGACGACAGAUGUUUUGUGAUCUAGGGUUUUGAUGCGGCUUGAACUAUGUCGGUAUUUCCCCAAAGAGGAAGGGAUGAUACAACACAGUUAAGGUAGAUAUUUCCUUCAGUGAUGAGACCAAGGUUAUCGAACCAGUAGGAGAACCACGCAACACUAUGUAAACGAUACCUGCACACAAAGACCAAAUACUUGCAACCCGACGUGUAAGAGGGGUUGUCAAUCCCUUCGGUAAAAAGAUAGAUAAAUUUGUAGUAGAUUGGGUGAAUAUAUCUUGCGGAAACGCGAAAUAGAACAAAGUGCAGCAAGGUAUUUUUGGGUUUUGGAUUAAUAGAUCUGAAAAUAAAAGCGAACAAAAAUAGAUCUCGGAGGCAAAUAUGAUAAAGAAUAGACCCGGGGGCCGUAGAUUUCACUAGUGGUUUCUCUCGAGAAAAAUAGCAUACAGUGGGUAAACAAAUUACUGUUGGGCAAUUGAUACAACCUCAAAUAAUUAUGACGAUAUCUAGGCAAUGAACAUUAUAUAGGCAUCACGUCCAAGAUUAGUAGACCGACUCCUACCUGCAUCUACUACUAUCACUCCACACAUCGACCGCUAUCCAGCAUGCAUCUAGUGUAUUAAGUUCAUGGAAAAACGGAGUAAUGCAAUAAGAACGAUGACAUUGAUGUAGACAAGAUCUAUUCAUGUAGGAAUACAUCCCAUCUUGUUAUCCUUAAUAGCAAUGAUACAUACGUGUUAUGUCCCCUUAUGUCACUGGAUUGAGCACCGUAAGAUCGAACCCAUCACAAAGCACCUCUUCCCAUGGCAAGAAAAAUCGAUCUAGUUGGUCUAACUAAACCAAAGAUUAGAAAAAGGAAUACGAGGCUAUAAACAAUCAUGCAUAUAAGAGAUCAAAACUCAAAUAACUUUCAUGGAUAAAAUAGAUCUGAUCAUAAACUUAAAGUUCAUCGGAUCCCAACAAACACACCGCAAAAAGAGUUACAUCAAAUAGAUCUCUAAGAGACCAUUGUAUUGAGAAUCACAAGAGAGAGAGAGAGAGAGAGAGAAAGGGGGGAAGCCAUCUAGCUACUGACUACGGACCUGAAGGUCUACAAUGAACUACUCACGCAUCAACGGAGAGGCACCAAUGAGGAUGAUGAACCCCACCGUGAUGGUGUAUAGAUUGGAUCUGUGGUUUCUAGAAUUUUGCGGCAGCUGGAAUUGUGGUUCGUCGACUCCCCUACAGUUUUUAGAUUUUUGAGGUAUUUAUAGAGCAAAGAGGCGAUGCGGGAGGCCACCGAGGUGGGCACAACCCACCAGGGGCGCGCCUGGGCCCCCAGGCGUGCCCAGGUGGGUUGUGCCCCCCUCGGGGCACCCGUCUGGUACUUUUUGGCCCAUCUUGUGUCUUCUGCUCCAGAAAAAAUCUCCAAAAAGUUUCGAUGCGUUUGGACUCCGUUUGGUAUUGAUUUUCUGCAAAGUAAAAAAAACAAGCAAAAGCAACAACUGGCACUGGGCACUAUGUCAAUAGGUUAGUCCCAAAAAAUGAUAUAAAGUUGUUAUAAAAUGAUUGUAAAACAUCCAAGAAUGAUAAUAUAACGACAUGGAACAAUAAAAAAUUAUAGAUAUGUUGGAGACAUACCAACAUCCCCAAGCUUAAUUCAUGCUCAUCCUCGAGUAGGUAAAUGAUAAAAAUAUAAUUUUUGAUGUGGAAUGUUGUCUAUCAUGUUCAUCACAAUUCUUUUCUUUUGUAGCAUGGACAUUUGGACUUUUAUAUGAUUCAAAGCAAUAGUGUAGUUUUGACAUGAGGAUUUCAAUACUUAAGCAUACCAACAAGCAACCAUGUCUUUCAAAAUAUCAACACUAAAGCAAGUUAUCCCUAGCCCAUCAUGCUCAAUCAUUGAUCCAUUCAUGAAACACACUCGCAUAUUAGCUACACCCAAUGCUUAAGUACGAUUAUAGUGCCCCUCAGUUGGUGCUUUAUAAGAGAAGAUUGAGACUCAAAUAAAAAUGAAAAUUGCAUAAAGUAAAUGGAAAGGCCCUUCAUAGAGGGAAGUAGGGAUUUGUAGAGGUGCUAGAGCUCAAAGCAAAAAAAGAUAUAGAUAAAACAUUUUGGGUGGCAUGCCUUUCCUAUCAACAAAAACGAUCAAGUAGUUCCCAAUAAUUUCCAUGCUAGAUAUAUCAUAGGCGAUUCCCAAACAGAAAAAAAGUUUAUGCCUUUUUCUACCAUACUUUCACAUUCCACGGCUAACCGAAUCCACGGGUACCGUCCAUACCUACACUUUUCAAGGAAUUUUUUAUUGGACAACAUAAAAUAAAUUCAUUUUUAAUUUCGAGACCGGGCAUCCCUAAUACCUUUGCCGUACUCUCGUGCAAUGACAAGUGAAUAAACACUCAUCUUGAGAAUAACAUAUCUAGCAUGAAAAAAAUAUCAGCCACCCGCUACCGUUUCAUGAGCGGUAUGAGCACACAGAAGGGAAAAUUAUUUUGAAAAUUAGAGAUGGCACAUACAAAUUUGCUUAGAACGGCAUGGAAAUACCGCAUAGGUAUAGUGGACUCAUAUGGCAAAACUGAGUUUAAGGAUUUUGGUGCACAAGUGAUGUCUACUAUGCAACUUUAUUCUUGUAGACACGUGUUGGGCCUCCAAGCGCAGAGUUCUGUAGGACAGUAGCAAUUUCCCCUCAAGUGGAUGACCUAAGGUUUAUCAAUCCGUGGGAGGUGUAGGAUGAAGAUGAUCUCUCUCAAACGACCCUGCAAUCAAAUACAAGAAAUCUCUUGUGUCCCCAACACACCCAAUACAAUGGAAAUUUGUAUAGCUGCACUGAUUUGGCGAAGAGAUGGUGAUACAAGUGUAAUAUGUAUGGUAGAAAUAUAUUUUUAUAAUAUGAAUAAAUAAAAACAGCAAGGUAGCAAAUAGUAAACGGACACAAAAACGGUAUUGCAAUGCUUGAAAAUGAGGCCUAGGGUCCGUACUUUCGCUAGUGCAAUCUCUCAACAAUGCUAAUAUAAUUGGAUCAUAUAACCACCCCUCAAAGUGCGAUGAAGAAUCAUUCCAAAGUUCCUAUCUAGCGGAGAACAUAAGAAGAAAUCGUUUGUAGGGUACGAAACUACCUCGAAGCUAUUCUUUUUGAUCGAUCUAUCCAAGAGUUCAUACUAAAAUAACAACAACUAAUUUCAGAUUCAUAAUACUCAAUCCAACACAAAGAACCUCAAAGAGUUCCCCAAGAUUUUCACCGGAGAAACAAAAGAUGAGAACAUGCAUCAACCCCUAUGCAUAGAUUACCCCAAUGUCACCGCGGGAAUCCACGAGUUGAGUGCCAAAACAUAUAUCAAGUAAAUCAAUAUGAUACCCCAUUGUCACCGCGAGUAUUCAUAUGCAAGACAUAUAUCAAGUGCUCUCAAAUCCAUAAAAGUAUUCAAUCCGAUAAAAAUGAAAUCGUAAAGGGAAAAACUCAAUUCAUCACAACAAGAUAGAGAGGGGAAAACACCAUAUGAUCCGACUAUAUUAACAAAGCCUGCGAUACAUCAAGAUCGUGGCAUCUCAAGAACACAAGAGAGAGAGAGAGAGAUUAAACACAUAGCUACUGGUACAAACCCUUAGCCCUGAGGGUGGAUUACUCCCUCCUCAUCGUGGUGGCCGCCGGGAUGAUGAAGAUGGACACCGGAGAUGAUUCCCCCCUUCGGCAGGGUGCCGAAACGGGGUCUAGAUUGGUUUUCGGUGGCUACAGAGCCUUGCGGAGGCGGAACUUCUAAUGUAGGUUUACCCCUGAGGGUUUUUGGAAUAUUUGAGAAUUUAUAGGGUAAAGAGGGGGUGCGGGAGGCCACCGAGGUGGGCAAAACCCACCUGGGCGCGCCUAGGCCCCCAGGCACGCCUUGGUGGGUUGUGCCCCCUCGGGGCACCCUCCAGGUGCUGCUCUGGCCCAUCGGGAGUCUUCUGGUCCAUAAAAAAUCCACAAAAAGCUCCGCCAUGUUUGGACUCCGUUUGAUAUUGAUUUCAUGCGAUGUACUCCCUCCGUUCCAAAUUACUCGUCGCAGAAAUGGGUGUAUCUAGAACUAAAAUACAUCUAGAUACAUCCAUACCUACGACAAGUAAUUCAGAACGGAGGAAGUAAACAAACAAGCAAAAAACAGCAACUAGCACUGGGUCAAUAGGUUAGUCCCAAAAAUGAUAUAAAGUUGCAUAAAAUGAUUGUAAAACAUCCAAGAAUGAUAAUAAAACAACAUUAAUACUUCAUAAAUUAUAGAUACGUUGGAUACGUAUCAACAAGUAGUAAUCCCACUUAGUACAAGUGAAGGCUAGCAAAAGAUUAAGAAGCAUCCAACCAAGAAACGAAAAAUCUCAUAAGCGAGCAUUAAGCAUAACUAACACCGAAUAAUGCACCACAAGUAGGAUGUAAUUUCAUUGCAUAACUAUUGACUUUUGUACUUGCAUAGGGAAUCACAAACCUUAACAUCAAUAUUCUUACUAAACCAUAAUUACUCAUCAACAUGGCUCAUAUAUCACUAUCAUCAUAUCGCAAAACUAUUACAAAGAAUCAAGUUUAUUUUGUCCAAUGAUCUUCAUGAAAGUUUUUAUUACAUCCCUCUUGAAUAACUAUCACUUUGGGACAAGUUUCAUAUGUUGCUUUUGAUAGCUCAAACAAAUCUAAGUGAAGAGCAUGAGCAUAAAAAUUUUCUUCUCUCAAAAUAAUUUAAGUGAAGCAUGAGAGAAUUUCUUAAAAAUUUACUAACUCUUAAAUAAAUAUAAGUGAAGCAUGAGAGCAAUUCUUCAAAAAUAUUAAAGCACAUUGUGCUCAAAAAGAUAUAAGUGAAGCACUAGAGCAAUUCCAUAACUCAAAAAAUUUAAGUGAAGCACAUAGAGCAAUUCUAACAAAUCAUAGCAUAAUUUUGACUCUCCCAAAUAGGUGUGUUCAGCAAGGAUAGAUGACACAAACUAAAAAUCAAAACAAGCAAAGACUCAUAUAAUACAAGAUGCUCCAAGAAAAACUCCUGAUAUGUGACAAAUAAAAAUAUAGCUCCAAGUAAAAUACCAAUGGUCGUUAGAAGAAAGAGGGGAUGCCACUCGGGGCAUCCCCAAGCUUAGUUUCUUGUUCCUCUUUGGAUAAUAACUUGGGGUGCCAUGGGCAUCCCUAAGCUUAGGAUCUUCUUGCUCCUUAUUCAUCCAUCGUGAUCUCACCCAAAACUUGAAAACUUCAAUCACACAAAACUCAACAAAACCUUCGUGAGAUCUGUUAGUAUAACAAAGAAAAUCACUACUCUAAGUAUUGUUGCAAACCCAUUCAUAUUUUAAUUUUGCAUUAUAUCUACUAUAUUCCAACUUUACCAUAUCUUAUGCCCUCCAAUACAAACCAUACAUUCAUCAAAAUAAGCACACAAUGCAAAGAAAACAGAAUCUGUCAAAAACAGAAUAGUCUGUAGCAAUCUAAAAACUUCGAAUACUUCUGUAACUCCAAAAAUUCUGAAAAAUUAGGACAACAUGGGAAAUUUGUAUAUAAAUCUUGUGUACAAAUAUUAGGAUUUUAUCGCGCUUCUGUGAAAAAUUAAAAUUGUUUUACUGGGUGCAAAAGUUUCUACUUUUCAACAAGAUCAAAUCAACUAUCACCGAACAUGAUCCCAAAGAAUUUACUUGGCACAAACACUAAUUAAAACAUAAAAAACACAAUCAUAACAGUAGAAUAAUUGUGUAAACACUCAAGAAUAGAAAUAAAAAAGCAAAAUAAAUUUUACUAAUUGGGUUGCCUCCCAACAAGCGCUAUCAUUUUAUGCCUCUGGCUAGGCAUAAGAUUUCAGCGAUGCUCACAUGAAAGAUAAGAAUUGAAACACAAAGAGAGCAUCAUGAAAUAUAUGACAAACACAUUUAAGUCUAACAUACUUCCUAUGCAUAUGAAUUUUAUAAGCAAACAAAUUAUCAAGACAAGAAACAUCUAACAUAUGCAAAGAAGAGGAAUAAAACAUUGAAAAUCUCAACACAACGAGAGGUAAUUUAGUAACAUGAAAAUUUCUACAAUCAUAUUUCCCUCUCUCAAAAUAAUUAAAUGUAAGAUCAUAAUAAAUUCAACAAUAUAGCUAUCAUAGAAAAUUUUCUCUUCAUGAUCCACAUGCAUGCAAAGUUGACACUCUUCCAAAAUAGUGAGAUUAUCAUCAAAUAAAGUCAUGACCUCUCCCAGACCACUUUUAUCAAAAAAAAUCAUAAGAUUGAUCACUCUCCAAAUAUGUGGGAUUAUUUUUACCUAGAGUUGACACUCUUUCGAACCUACUUUUAAUAUUAUUGCAAACAUAUUCAUCGUGAGGCUUAAAUAAACUAUCAAGAUCAUAAGAAUCAUCAUCACCCCAAUCAUGAUCAUUGCAAUAAGUAGCAGACAUAACAAAACAAGCAUCCCCAAGCUUGGGGCACAUCACUAACACAAUUGACAUUAAUAUAAUUUAUAAUAAUAUCAUUGCAAUCAUGCUUUUCAUUCAGGGAGCUAUCAAGUGUGGGUGCAAUAGCAAUAAUUUCAUGUUUAACAUAAGGAACUAUAGCAAGUUCAUCUCCAUAUGCAUCAUUAAUAUUGGCAUCAUGGCCAUAAGAAUAGCAAGCAUCAUGUUAAUCAGGCGGGGAUAAUUCAAUCAAAUCAACGGAAUCAUAAUUAUCCACAGCUUCAUGCAUAUCAUUAUUUUCUUCCAAAGCAGGGGACAUUCUCUCAAUAAAUUCUUUAACAUAGGCAUUAUGAGCAUAGUUUUCAUAGCAAUAUUUAAGUAUGUCAAAAUUUAUAGAUUUGUAGAGAGUAAUAUCAUACUUUUCAAUCAAAGAUUCAACUUCAUAAGCACCCUUAAAAGCAACAAAUUCUUCAAUUUGAUCGAUAUCAUAGUAACUAUAAACCUCCUUGGCAUAAGAAGAUAAGAUUUCAUUGUCAUUAAACUCACAUAGAUAGGGGAGGUGUUUUUAGGGUUCUUAGCGCAACAAGUAAAAUCGCAAAUUUCACAAAGAUUCCAAGCAUAGCAUAGCAAACUGAUGUCUACUACACAACCUUCUUCUUGUACACAUUGUUGGGCCUCCAAGUGCAGAGGUUUGUAGGACAGUAGCAAAUUUCCCUCAAGUGAAUGACCUAAGGUUUAUCAAUCCGUGGGAGGCAUAGGAUGAAGAUAGUCUCUCUCAAACAACCCUGCAACCAAAUAACAAAGAGUCUCUUGUGUCCCCAACACACCCAAUACAAUGGUAAAUUGUAUAGGUGCACUAGUUCGGCGAAGAGAUGCUGAUACAAGUGCAAUAUGGAUGAUAGAUAUAGUUUUUUGUAAUCUGAAAAAAUAAAAACAGCAAGGUAACUAAUGAUAAAAGUGAGCAAAAACGGUAUUGCAAUGCGUUGAAACAAGGCCUAGGGUUCAUACUUUCACUAGUGCAAGUUCUCUCAACAAUAAUAACAUAAUUGGAUCAUAUAACUAUCCCUCAACAUGCAACAGAGAGUCACCCGAAAGUCACUAAUAGCAGAGAACAAACAAAGAGAUUAUGGUAGGGUACGAAACCACCUCAAAGUUAUCCUUUCUGAUCGAUCUAUUCAAGAGUCCAUAGUAAAAUAACACAAGGCUAUUCUUUCUGUUUGAUCUAUCAUAGAGUUCGUACUAGAACAACACCUUAAGACACAAAUCAACCAAAACCCUAAUGUCACCUAGAUACUCCAAUGUCACCUCAAGUAUCCGUGGGUAUGAUUAUAUGAUAUGCAUCACACAAUCUCAGAUUCAUCUAUUCAACCAACACAAAGAACUUCAAAUUGUGCCCUAAAGUUUCUACCGGAGAGUCAAGACGAAAACAUGUGCCAACCCCUAUGCAUAAGUUCACGAGGUCACGGAACACGCAAGUUGAUCACCAAAACAUACAUCAAGUGGAUCACGUGAUAUCCCAUUGUCACCACAGAUAAGCACAUGCAAGACAUACAUCAAGUGUUUUCAAAUCCUUAAAGACUCAAUCCGAUAAGAUAACUUCAAAGGGAAAACUCAAUCCAUUACAAGAGAGUAGAGGGGGAGAAACAUCAUAAGAUCCAACUAUAAUAGCAAAGCUCGCGAUACAUCAAGAUCGUGCCAAAUCAAGAACACGAGAGAGAGAGAGAGAGAGAGAGAGAGAGAGAGAGAGAGAUCAAACACAUAGCUACUGGUACAUACCCUCAGCCCCGAGGGUGAACUACUCCCUCCUCAUCAUGGAGAGCGUCGGGAUGAUGAAGAUGGCCACCGGAGAGGGAUUCCCCCCUCCGGCAGGGUGCCGGAACGGGUCUAGAUUGGUUUUCGGUGGCUACAGAGGCUUGCGGCGGCGGAACUCCCGAUCUAGGUUUCUUUCUAGAAGUUUCAGUAUAUAUAAGAGGUUUUGGCAUCAAGAAUAAGUCAGGGGGUCUCCGGGCUGUCCACGAGGUAGGGAGGCACGCCCAGGGGGGUGGGCGCGCCCCCACCCUCAUGGGCAGCCCGGGACUCUUCUGGCCCAACUCUUUUACUCCAUGCCCUUCUUCUAGUCCAAAAAUAAGUUCCGUGAAGUUUCAGGUCAAUUGGACUCCGUUUGAUUUUCCUUUUCUGUAAAACUCAAAAACAAGGAAAAACAGAAACAGGCACUGGGCUCUAGGUUAAUAGGUUAGUCCCAAAAAUCAUAUAAAAUAGCAUAUAAAUGCAUAUAAAACAUCCAAGGUUGAUAAUAUAAUAGCAUGGAACAAUAAAAAAAUUAUAGAUACGUUGGAGACGUAUCAAGCAUCCCCAAGCUUAAUUCCUGCUCGUCCUCGAGUAGGUAAAUGAUAAAAACAUAAUUUUUGAUGUGGAAUGCUACCUAACAUAUUUAUCCAUGUAAUCCUCUUUAUUGUGGCAAGAAUAUUCUGAUCCAUAAAAUUCGAGACAAAAGUUUAAUAUUGACAUAAAAAUAAUAAUACUUCAAGCAUACUAACAAAGUAACCAUGUCUUCUCAAAAUAACAUGGCCAAAGGAAGCUAUCCCUACAAAAUCAUAUAGUCCGGCUAUGCUCUAUCUUCAUCACACAAAAUAUUUAAAUCAUGCACAACCCCGAUGACAAGCCAAACAAUUGUUUCAUACUUUUGAUGUUCUCAAACUUUUUCAAUCUUCACGCAAUACAUGAGCGUGAGCCAUGGACAUAGCACUAUAGGUGGAAUAGAAUGGUGGUUGUGGAGAAGACAAAAAGGAGAAGAUAGUCUCACAUCAACUAGGCAUAUCAACGGGCUAUGGAGAUGCCCAUAAAUAGAUAUCAAUGUGAGUGAGUAGGGAUUGCCAUGCAACGGAUGCACUAGAGCUAUAAGUGUAUGAAAGCUCAAAAAGAAACUAAGUGGGUGUGCAUCCAACUCGCUUGCUCACUAAGACCUAGGGCAUUUUGUGGAAGCCCAUUAUUGGAAUAUACAAGCCAAGUUCUAUAAUGAAAGAUUCCCACUAGUAUAUGAAAGUGACAACAUAGGAGACUCUCUAUCAUGAAGAUCAUGGUGCUACUUUGAAGCACAAGUGUGGUAAAAGGAUAGUAGCAUUGUCCCUUCUCUCUUUUUCUCUCAUUUUUUGUUUUUUUGGGCCUUCUCUCUUUUUAUGGCCUUUUUUCUCUCUCUCUUUUUUCGUCCGGAGUCUCAUCCCGACUUAUGGGGUAAUCAUAGUCUCCAUCAUCCUUUCCUCACUGAGACAAUGCUCUAAUAAUGAUGAUCAUCACACUUUUAUUUACUUACAACUUGAUACUUAGAACAAAAUACGACUCUAUAUGAAUGCCUCCGGCAGUGUACCGGGAUGUGCAAUGAAUCAAGAGUGACAUGUAUGAAAUAAUUAUGAACGAUGGCUUUGCCACAAAUACGAUGUCAACUACAUGAUCAUGCAAAGCAAUAUGACAAUGAUGGAGUGUGUCAUAAUAAACGGAGCAGUGGGAAGUUGCAUGGCAAUAUAUCUCAGAAUGGCUAUGGAAAUGCCAUAAUAGGUAGGUAUGGUGGCUGUUUUGAGGAAGGUAAAUGGUGGGCUUAUGGUACCGACGAAAGCUGCACGGUACUAGAGAGGCUAGCAAUGGUGGAAGGGCGAGAGUGUGUAUAAUCCGUGGACUCAACAUUAGUCAUAAAGAACUCACAUACUUAUUGCAAAAAUCUAUUAGUUAUCAAAACAAAGUACUACGUGCAUGCUCCUAGGGGAUAGAUUGGUAGUAAAAGACCAUCGCUCGUUCCCGACCGCCACUCAUAAGGAAGACAAUCAAUAAAUAAAUCAUGCUCCGACUUCAUCACAUAACGGUUCACCAUACGUGCAUGCUACAGGAAUCACAAACUUUAACACAAGUAUCUCUUAAAUUCACAACUACUCAACUAGCAUGACUCUAAUAUCACCAUCUUCAUAUCCCAAAACAAUCAUCAAGUAUCAAACUUCUCAUAGUAUUCAAUGCACUCUAUAUGAAAGUUUUUAUUAUACCCAUCUUGAAUGCCCAUCAUAUUAGGAAUAAAUUUAUAACCAAAGCAAAUUACCAUGCUGUUCUAAAGAAUCUAAAAAUAAUAUAAGUGAAUCAUGAGAGUUCAUUUAUUUCUUCAAAAUAAAACCACCUCCAUGCUCUAAAAAGAUAUAAGUGAAGUACUAGAGCAAACGACAAACUACUCCAAAAGAUAUAAGUGAAGAUCAAUGAGUAGUCGAAUAAUUAUGCAACCAUGUGAAGACUCUCUAACAUUUAAGAGUUUCAGAUCUUGGUAUUUUAUUCAAACAUCAAGCAAAACAAAAGAAAAUAAAAUGAUGCUCCAAGCAAAACACAUAUCAUGUGGUGAAUAAAAAUAUAGCGUCAAGUAAAGUUACCGAUGAACGAAGACAAAAGAGGGGAUGCCUUCCAGGGCAUCCCCAAGCUUAGGCUCUUGGUUAUCCUUGAAUAUUACCUUGGCGUGCCUUGGGCAUCACCAAGCUUAGGCUCUUGCCACUCCUUAUUCCAUAGUCCAUCGAAUCUUUACCCAAAACUUGAAAACGUCACAACACAAAACUUAACAGAAAACUCGUAAGCUCCGUUUGUAUAAGAAAAUAAAUCACCACUUAGGUACUAUUGUGAACUCAUUAUAAAUUCAUAUUGGUGUAAUAUCUACUGUAUUAAAACUUCUCUAUGAUUCAUACCCUCCGAUACUACUCAUAGAUUCAUCAAAAUAAGCAAACAACACAAUGAAAACAGAAUCUGUCAAAAAACAGAACACUCUGUAGUAAUCUGUAUCAUUCGAAUGCUUCUGUCACUCAAAAAAUUCUGAAAUGAAUGGGUGGACGUGAGGAAUUUGUCUAUUAAUCAUAUGCAAAAAGAAUCAACCAAAUCACACUCUCCAGUAAAAAAAGGUAGCUAAUCUCGUGAGCGCUAAAGUUUCUAUUUUUACAGCAAGAUCAGAAAGACUUCACCCAAGUCUUCCCAAAGGUUCUACUUGGCACAAACACUAAUUAAAACAUAAAACCACAUAUAAACAGAGGAUAUAUGAAUUAUUUAUUACUAAACAGGAGCAUAGAACAAAGAACAAAAAUAAAAUUGGGAUGCCUCCCAACAAGCACUAUAGUUUAACUCCCCUAGCUAGGCAUUGAUGAUUUCAAUGAUGCUCACAUAAAAGAUAAGAAUUGAAACAUAAAGAGAGCAUCAUGAAUAAUAUGACUAGCACAUUUAAGUCUAACCCACUUCCUAUGCAUAGGGAUUUUGUGAGCAAACAACUUGUGGGAACAUGAAUAAACUUGCAUAGGAAGGUAAAACAAGGAAAUCUUCAAGAUUUUCAACACAUAGAGAGGAAACUUGAUAUUAUUGCAAUUCCUACAAGCAUAUAUUCCUCCCUCAUAAUAAAUUUCAGUAGCAUCAUGAAUGAAUUCACCAAUAUAACUAUCACAUAAAGCAUUCUUUUUCAUGAUCUACAAGCAUAGAAUUUUUGUUACUCUCCACAUAAGCAAAAUUCUUCUCAUUCGGAAUAGUGGGAGCAUCAUAAGAAACUCGAAUACUAUAAAUUGUUUCCACAUUAAAGGAGUAAUGUUCAGAAAAAGGGUAAUCAGAAUCAUGACAAGUUUUAUAAAUAUAAUCAUCUCUACUUUUUAUAGCAUAAGUAUCAUCACAAUAAUCAUCAUAAGUAGCAACUUUGUUCUCAUCAUAAUCAAUUUAAACCUCUUCCAAGAUAGUGGAAUCAUUACUAAACAAAGUCAUGACCUCUACAAAUCCACUUUCAUAAUUGUCACAAUAAGAUUCAACAUCCUCCAAAAUAGUAGGAUCAUUACUUCCUAAAGUUGACACUCUUCCAAACCCACUUUCAUCAAUAUAACCAUCAUAAAUAGGAGACAUGUUAUCAUCAUAAUAAAUUUGCAUAUCAAAACUUGGGAGGUUAAUUAUAUCAUAUUCAUGAAACAUAGCAUCCCCAAGCUUGGGACAAACAUUAGUUGCAGCAAAUAAAUUCUCAAACAUGUCAUUCUCAUCAAACAUAGCAUCCCCAAGUUUGGUACAAACAUUAGUUGCAGCAAAUAAAUUCUCAAACAUGUCAUUCUCAUCAAACAUAGCAUCCCCAAGCUUGGGACUUUUCAUAUCAUAAGCAUAAUCACUCUCAUCACUAAUAGUAUGGAUAGCACCAAUAAUAUAACAAUUAUCAUCAUCACAAUGAAUAAUAGGAGCAACAUCAUUUGGGAGGAAUACCUUAUUACCUUUGCUUCUCCGUCUUUUCUUUUUCUUCUUCACAUCAUGUGUGGGUUUAAUCCUCUUUUUGGAGCUCAUUAUUAAUGAGAUUGGUUGAAUAGAAGGCUCCUCCUCGUUACCUGAUUCAUCAUAAGAAAUAAUAGGAGGAUAUUGGGAAGUCUCUUCCCUUUCAUUAGUAUUCUCUUCAUCUUAUAAUUGUUUUCUUGACUUUAUGUAAUUAGCAAUAUAAGGAUUUAGAAUGCAAUUCACUGCACAAUACAUAUAAAUUUCCUCUAGAUCAAAAUCAAGAACAUUAUCGAGGGAAAAUUCUGGAAUAUCCUUAGUUAUACGUUUAAUUUCUUCAUAACCCAGAAGCAAACUAAGUUCAUUACGAUGUUCAAGGGAAAUCAAGUCAUCACAAUUUUUGGACACAAUUUGAUCAUGAAACAAUUUGCAUUGGAUAUUUAAAUGACCACGUUCAUUGCAAAGUUCACAAGGAUGGCUAAGAAAAUUUAAAUUUUCAACACAAACAUCUAGCCUUUCUUUCAACCAUUAGUUUCUAAAUACUUAUGCCUCUUGCAAAAUCUAUCUUCCCUAUUUGGUGUGUACUUGCAAACCCUAUGCACUCCACAAUAAUUGACAUGCUUAUAAGAGGCAUUUUCAUCAUGACUAGUGCAAUCAUCAUUAGUGCUAUGGAUAUUCAAAGAGUUCGUACUAACAACAUUGCAAUCAUGCUCAUCAUUCAAAGAUUUAGUGCCAAACAUUUUAAUGCAUUCUUCUUCUAGCAUUUUGGCAUAAUUACCGGAAUCCUUAUUUUCAUUAAAGACAUCAAAAAAGAUGAAGCAUAUGAGGCAACCUCAAUUCCAUUUUUAGUUUUCUUUUAUAGAAUAAACUAGUGAUAAAACAAGAAACAAAAAGAUUCGAUUGCAAGAUCUAAAGAUAUACCUUCAAGCGCUAACCUCCUCGGCAACGGCGCCAGAAAAGAGCUUGAUGUCUACUACACAACCUUCUUCUUGUAGAUGUUGUUGGGCCUCCAAGUGCAGAGGUUUGUAGGACAGUAGCAAAUUUCCCUCAAGUGGAUGACCUAAGGUUUAUCAAUACGUGGGAGGCAUAGGAUGAAGAUGGUCUCUCUCAACAAUCCUGCAACCAAAUAACAAAGAGUCUCUUGUGUCCCCAACACAUCCAAUACAAUGGUAAAUUGUAUAGGUGCACUAGUUCGGCGAAGAGAUGCUGAUACAAGUGCAAUAUGGAUGAUAGAUAUAGGUUUUUGUAAUCUGAAAAAAUAAAAAUAGCAAGGUAACUAAUGAUAAAAGUGAGCAAAAACGGUAUUGCAAUGCGUUGAAACAGGGCCUAGGGUUCAUACUUUCACUAGUGCAAGUUCUCUCAACAAGAAUAACAUAAUUGGAUCAUAUAACUAUCCCUCAACAUGCAAUAGAGAGUCACCCCAAAGUCACUAAUAGCGGAGAACAAACAAAGAGAUUAUGGUAGGGUACGAAACCACCUCAAAGUUAUCCUUUCUGAUCGAUCUAUUCAAGAGUCCAUAGUAAAAUAACACAAGGCUAUUCUUUCCGUUUGAUCUAUCAUAGAGUUCGUCCUAGAACAACACCUUAAGACACAAAUCAACCAAAACCCUAAUGUCACCUAGAUACUCCAAUGUCACCUCAAGUAUCCGUGGGUAUGAUUAUAUGAUAUGCAUCACACAAUCUCAGAUUCAUCUAUUCAACCAACACAAAGAACUUCAAAGAGUGCCCUAAAGUUUCUACCGGAGAGUCAAGACAAAAACAUGUGCCAACCCCUAUGCAUAAGUUCACGAGGUCACGGAACACGCAAGUUGAUCACCAAAACAUACAUCAAGUGGAUCACGUGAUAUCCCAUUGUCACCACAGAUAAGCACAUGCAAGACAUACAUCAAGUGUUCUCAAAUCCUUAAAGACUCAAUCCGAGAAGAUAACUUCAAAGGGAAAACUCAAUCCAUUACAAGAGAGUAGAGGGGGAGAAACAUCAUAAGAUCCAACUAUAAUAGCAAAGCUCGCGAUACAUCAAGAUCGUGCCAAAUCAAGAACACGAGAGAGAGAGAGAGAGAGAUCAAACACAUAGCUACUGGUACAUACCCUCAGCCCCGAGGGUGAACUACUCCCUCCUCGUCGUGGAGAGCGCCGGGAUGAUGAAGAUGUCCACUAGAGAGGGAUUCCCCCCUCUGGCAGGGUGCCGUAAUGGGUCUAGAUUGGUUUUCGGUGGCUACAGAGGCUUGCGGCGGCGGAACUCCCGAUCUAGGUUUCUUUCUGGAAGUUUUAGUAUAUAUAAGAGGUUUUGGCGUCAAGAACAAGUCAGAGGGGGUCUCCUGGCUGUCCACGAGGUAGGGAGGCGCGCCCAGGGGGUGGGAACGCCCCCCACCCUCGUGGGCUGCCCGGGACUCUUCCGGCCCAACUCUUUUACUCCAUGGCCUUCUUAUGGUCCAAAAAUAAGUUCCGUGAAGUUUCAGGUCAAUUGGACUCCAUUUGAUUUUCCUUUUCUGUAAAACUCAAAAACAAGGAAAAAAUAGAAACUGGCACUAGGCUCUAGGUUAAUAGGUUAGUCCCAAAAAUCAUAUAAAAUAGCAUAUAAAAAAAUCCAAGGUUGAUAAUAUAAUAGCAUGGAACAAUAAAAAAUUAUAGAUACGUUGGAGACGUAUCACAAACAAUUUAUUUCAUUCCAUAAGAGCUUCCCUUUUUCAGACAAAUGAUGAUGCGCAAAAUAAGCAUGCUCAUCUAAUGAUUUCCCUCAACUAAACUAGUUGGGGUUUCAGUACAAGCACAUAUGGAUCAAAUAUGAUCCAGGUAGAGAACUCCAAGUGGAUCCAUAGCAAUAGAUUUUUAGCAAGAAAAGAUGCAAGCAAAAUAGAAGGCACAUGGAAACACAAGAAAACAUAAGAUCGAAAGAGGAAAAAGGCGAACGAAAAAGAAGGCGAAUAAAACGAGAAAUUUUUGUGAUGUGGGGGAGAUGAAAACGAAAGGAAAACAACAAAUAGUGUAAAUUGCAAGGAGAUGAAAUCUGUGAUUAGGAACCUGAUAGAUAUUGAUGAUGUCUCCCCGGCAAUGGCGCCAGAAAUUCCUUUGACGCGGCUUGAACUAGGUCGGUAUUCCCCCAAAGAGGAAGGGAUGAUGCAGCACAAUUACGGUAGUUAUUUCCCUUGGUGAUGAGACCAAGGUUAUCAAACCAGUAGGAGAACCACGCAACACUAUGUAAAUGGUACCUGCACACAAAGAACAAAUACUUGCAACCCACGUGUAAGAGGGGUUGUCAAUCCCUCCCGGGUAAAAAGAUAGAUAAAUUUGUAGUAGAUUGGAUAAAUAGAUCUUGCGGAAACAUGAAAUAAAAUAAAUAACAAAAAAGUCCAGCAAGGUAUUUUUGGGUUUUUGGAUUAACAGAUCUGAAAAUAAAAGCGAAUAAAAAUAGAUCUCAAAGGCAAAUAUGAUAAAUAAUAGACCCUGGGGCCAUAGAUUUCACUAGUGGCUUCUCUCGAGAAAAAUAGCAUAUGGUGGGUAAACAAAUUACUGUUGGGAAAUUGAUAGAACUUCAAAUAAUUAUGACGAUAUCGAGGCAAUGAUCAUUAUAUAGGCAUCAUGUCCAAGAUUAGUAGACCGACUCCUGCCUGCAUCUACUACUAUUACUCCACACAUCGACCGCUAUCCAACGUGCAUCUAGUGUAUUAAGUUCAUGGAGAAACAGAGUAAUGCAAUAAGAAUGAUGACAUGAUGUAGACAAGAUCUAUUCAUGUAGGAAUAGACCCCAUCUUGUUAUCCUUAAUAGCAAUGAUACAUAUGUGGCAUGUCCCCUUAUGUCACCGAGAUUGAGCACCGUAAGGUCGAACCCAUCACAAAGCACCUCUUCCCAUGGCAAGAAAUAUCGAUCUAGUUCGCCUAACUAAACCAAAGAUUCAAAGAAGAAAUACGAGGCUAUAAGCAAUGAUGCAUAUAAGAGAUCAAAACUCAAAUAACUUUCAUGGAUAAAAUAGAUCUGAUCAUAAACUCAAAGUUCAUCGGAUCCCAACAAACACACUGCAAAAAAGUUACAUCAAAUAGAUCUCCAAGAGACCAUUGUAUUGAGAAUCACAAGAGAGAGAGAGAGAGGAAGCCAUCUAGCUACUGACUACAGACCCGGAGGUCUACAAUGAACUUCUCACGCAUCAUCAGAGAGGCACCAAUGAGGAUGAUGAACCCCUCUGUGAUGGUGUCUAGAUUGGAUAUGUGGCUGGAAUUGUGUUUUGUCGACUCCCCUAGGGUUUUUGGAUUUUCGGGGUAUUUAUAGAGCAAAGAGGUGGUGCGGGAGGUCACCGAGGUGGGCACAACCCACCAGGGCAUGCCUGGGCCCCCAGGCGUGCCCAGGUGGGUUGUGCCCCCCUCGGGGCACCCCUCUGGUACUUCUUUGCCCCAUCUUGUAUCUUCUGGUCCAGAAUCAAUAUCCGAAGAGUUUCGCUGCAUUUGUACUCCAUUUGGUAUUGAUUUUCUGGGAAGUAAAAAAACAAGCAAAAAAUAGCAACUAGCACUGGGCACUAUGUCAAUAGGUUAGUCCCAAAAAUGAUAUAAAGUUGCUAUAAAAUGAUUGUAAAACAUCCAAGAAUGAUAAUAUAAUAGCAUGGAACAAUAAAAAAAUUAUAGAUAAAUUGGAGAUGUAUUAGGUUUAUGCUUGGGCAGACCAGAUCUGGGCCCGAGGCGGAUCGGGGCCAUCGUCCUGGGUAGGUGGGGGCAGGCUUGGUCCGCGUGGUGCUCAGUGGUGGUGGUCGUGUUAGCGUUGCGUCGGUGCAUGGAUCGGUGCAAGUGACGGGCUCACCUGGCCAAGGGCUCAGGACUGGCUCGCCGACGGUUGUCGGCAGUCUCGGUGUCGUGUCCCCAAGUCCACCUGGUAUUGGCUGGGGAUGCAGGCAUGGGGGCCUCCUAUGGUAGAGUCACCUACUCAAACUCAUGGACUAAUGUCGGGCUAGGAGUAGAUGAAGUGUUGGCAACGACAACAAUGGUAAUUUUACAAAAAAAAUUGGCACUUCUACAAAAAACGGGGGCUCCCGCGAUCGGGAAGGCGGUCUGGCGGCGAUGGCGAGUGAGCACGGGUGAUGGCGGCGGCGACAAAGCUAGGAGGAGGGGCUGAUCCCCCUAGAGUGGGCCUUAUCAGGGGCCACCUCAGCACAAGAGAUUGGGAGGAGAUUCGGGCAAGAUCGAGGCGGAUAUUACGCAGGGCGGCAGAUCAAAGAAGCUGCCUGAAGAUCUCGAGGAGAAGAGCGUCAGAGUUUUUUAGUAAAUUGGAAGGUGAGACCCCCUCUAUUCCAUUUGGGGAAGGAUCCAUCCAAGCUUCAAGAUCUUUUGUUGGUCCCGUUUCCGCGGAUUUGGGUGGCUCUGUUUCUGGAAAUUUUGUUGANNNNNNNNNNNNNNNNNNNNNNNNNNNNNNNNNNNNNNNNNNNNNNNNNNNNNNNNNNNNNNNNNNNNNNNNNNNNNNNNNNNNNNNNNNNNNNNNNNNNNNNNNNNNNNNNNNNNNNNNNNNNNNNNNNNNNNNNNNNNNNNNNNNNNNNNNNNNNNNNNNNNNNNNNNNNNNNNNNNNNNNNNNNNNNNNNNNNNNNNNNNNNNNNNNNNNNNNNNNNUCCGCUCGGGAUUCAGAGGCAACAUCUAUAGAUGUGAUAGGAUGUUUAUCCUCUCAAGAUUAUAGUAGGAGUCAUCAGCUGGAGCUGAUUGAUGCCCCGAUUUUGGAUCCUACUAUUGGCGAUUGUGAACCUCUUGAGCGAAAGGGAGAUAUCUUCAUUGUAGUUAUUAGGAAACUGCUCAUUCAUGGCUUAUUACUCAUGGUUAUUAGCAUCAAUUCCAUUUUUAUACGGGGUGGAAGGGGAUCCUAGCAUGCUAUAUCUGUGGUACAUGGAGAGGUCAAUCUUCACCAUUGUUCUCGCCAGUGUAGCUUCGUCUGCUUUAUGUUCCUUCUACCAUCUGCAGUGAUGGAGGGAAGUGUGCCAUGGACGGUCAGGGAGGGAGUGUGAGUAAUGUUUUGGGGAAAAUACCAGCGAGUGGACAGGGGUCGAGGGUGAUGACAGAUGCCACGACAGUUGGAUCCUCUCUCCACCAGUUGGGGACAAAGUCGUCGGGGCGCAUCCGAGAGGGGGGGGGGUGUCCUCUUGUCAUUGACAUGGAGGCUGCCCGCAAGGUCGUCAGUGGCUUCCUGGUGGUUGGACGCCUCCUGUCCCCCUUCCAGCCCAACCCGAGGGUCAUCCUCACAGAUCUCUAGAACACGGCAUGGAAGAACCAAGGGGUGACCACCCUGCAAGAGGUGGCCAGCGACGAUGGAAGGUUCAUCAUCAACUUUGCUACUGAGAGUGACUGUCGGUUUGUGCUUAAGGCGCAUCCAUGGCACUUCAAGCAGGAUGUGCUCAUUUUUGCCGAGUUUGACGACAAGGGCGAUCCGGUGGAGGUUGACCUUGGCGUCAUGACCAUUUGGGUCCAGGUACGCGAUCUCUCGUUCGAGCUUAAGACGGAGAGUGUAGGGUAGUCUCUCGAGGAUCAAUUUGGAGAGGUUCUGGAGGUGCCGCAUCAUAACCAUGUAAUUGUUGAAAAAAAUUACGUCUGAGUGUGAAGAUUCUUCUGCAUGAAUCUCUGAAGACCUUUGUAGAGAUUACCCCUUUAGGUAGUUCAAAGAUUUUUAAGUUUGAUGUAAAGUAUGAGAAGCUACCUUUGUAUUGCAAGUGUUGUGGGAUUGUGGGUCAUACUUCUAAGAGGUUUUGUAAAAUUCAAAGUGAGGAGAGAGUAGUUUUUUUUUGCCAAAAAACCUUAGUGUUGAACCCUACUGGAAAAGCCAAGGUGCUAGUAAGAGGGUUCUUCUCUUCAAAAUAGGUGUGCGCGGGUAGAGUUGUUGUAGUCCAGGACGAGGAGGGCGGGGUUACACACAUUGCAAAGGAGAUUGACGAAAAGGAUGAAGAGUACGUGUCGCGAGGUGCGGAAUCGGUCGGUGAAGAGAAAUAUGACAUUGGCACAUCGGUGGCCUUCAAGAAGGAGGACCACCGGGCCAAAUAAAAAUCCUAGGGUGGAACUGUCGUGGUAUAUAUGAUCUCUAACACAGUAGUUCAUGAGCUUCUGGACCUACAGGAGCAUACAAGAGCAGAUUUAAUAUUCCUUUCUGAAUCCCAUUUGAGUAAUUGUAAAGGCGAUGAGCUUCGUCGUGUUCUAGGUUUUGAAUCUAUGUUUGUAGUGGAAAGUGAUGGUAAGGCCCGUGGCCUCGUUUUGUUUUAUCAUAAGUCAAAUAAAGUUGAGUUGAACUAUGUUUCGCCCCAUUUUAUUGAUUUUUAUGUAUGAGAAUGUGAUUCAAUGGCGGUUCAGGGGUUUUAAUGGUCACACGAAAUGGAAUGAAUGCCAUCUUUCUUGGGAUGAUAUUCACAAUUUAUAUAGUAAGGGAAACCAUCCCUGGGUGGUUUUGGGGGAUUUUAAUGAAAUUAUAUAUCAUUCGGAAAAAGAGGGUGGUAUGGCUAGACCACUUGGUAUGAUGAGAGAUAUUCGUGAAUGCCUAAUGGUUUGUGGGCUGGACGACCUAGGCUACAUUGGCGACCUGUUCACUUGGAGGAGAGGCAAAACACGUGAACGCCUUGAUCGGACGGUCUGUAAUAUAGCAUGGGCAAACAAAUUUCCAUGUGCGGUAGUGAUCAAUGAAGAACAUGUUCAUUCUGAUCAUCGCCCAAUCAUACUGGAUAUGGAUUACUUGGAUGAAAAAAAUCUUUAAACGACCAGAGGGGAGCGUUAAACAAUUUGAGGCGAGGUGGUUGAAGGAAGAGACGGUCACUGAAAUUGUUAAGGCAUCUUGGGAGAAAGCAAAGCUUGCAUGUAUUGGACCUUCAUUUGCUGACCGUACGAGAGCAGUGCAUGCCGAUCUACAUACUUGGGACAGGGAAAUCCUAAAGGGACCAAAGGUGAGAAUUAGGAAAUUAAAAAAAGAGUUGGAGAGACUAAGGCGUGGUCCUUCGAAUACGGAGUCUCGAUGUCGUUAAAGGAAAUUAUUGUGGUAAUUGAAAAUAUCUUGGAUCAAGAGGAAAUUUUCUGGUUACAAAGAGGAUAGGCGAACUGGUUGAUGCACGGGGAUCGUAAUAUGUCGUUUUUUUCAUAACGCUGCCACGGCCAGGAAAAAAGAAAUAAUAUAAAGAAACUAUUAGACGAGUCUGGUAACUAGAUAAAAGAAAAUGAUUUGACAAGUCACACUACUGAAUAUUUUACAAAGCUUUUCAAGUCAGAAGUGCAACAGCCGAAUACAAAGUAAAGAUCAAUGCAGAGGAAGGUGAGAGAUUUAAACCCAUGAGAGGGUUUAGACAGGGGGCCUGCUAUCACCAUACCUCUUUCUGCUAUGCACAGAAGGGUUGAAUGCCUUUCUUACGCAUGUUGAGGAGAACGGAAACAUAUCAGGAAUUAAAAUCUGUAGAGACACCUUGUCGGUUACAAAUCUUCUCUUUGCGAAUGAUUCAUUGAUCUUGAUGAAAGCCAAUCAACAGAAUGCGACGGCCCUGAAAGUAGCACUAGAGUUAUAUUGUGUGGCGUCAGGACAACUGGUAAGCUUCAAAAAUACCAGUAUUUUCUUUAGCCCUAAUACAAAGGUAGAGAUCAGAGAACAAUUGUGUACAAUGCUUAAUAUAAUGACAGAGGUUCUGAAUGAAAAAUACCUACGCCUGCUAGCAAAUGUGGGUGUUGAUAAAAUGAACUAUUUUAAAUUGCUGAUAGAACGUAUUGUUAAGAAAAUUAGUGGUUGGAAGGAAAAGUUACUAUCUGUCGGGGGGAAGGAGAUCCUUCUUAAGGCUGUGAUCCAAGCCAUACCUACCUAUGCAAUGUCGGUCUUUAAAAUUCCUAAAAAAUUGUAAGGUAAUCAUUGACGCAAUAGCGCACUUCUGGUGGGGUGACGAGGAGAGAACCAGAGGAUGAUGCACUGGAUGGCCUGGUGGAAAAUGUGUGUACCAAAAAACCAAGGAGGAAUGGGAUUCUGUGAUAUCCACUGUUUCACCCUAGCUCUGCUUUCCAAACAAGCAUGGUGUCUCCUUGAUAAUCCUGACUCCUUGUGUGCUACUAUUCUAAGAGCCAAGUAUUAUCCUGAUGGUGAUUUGAUGAAUUCCAAGCCAAAGCAUGGCGCGUCUUUCACUUGGCAAAGCAUUAUGGCAGGUAUUACUACUCUGAAGCAUAGCUAUAUUUGGCGACUGGGGGAUGGACAUAACAUCAAAAUUUUGGAACAUGUCUGGAUCCCAAAUUGUGCCACUAGGAAGAUUGUGACUCCCAAGGGGGGACAUUUGUUAUCAAAAGUGGUUGAUUUGGUUGACCCUACCUCCAAUGAUUGGGAUGAGGAACUGGUUAGACAAACUAUGUGGCCCAUUGACGCACAACAAAUUCUUUCAAUCCCAAUUCUGCAACAUAAUAUGACAUAUUUCAUUGCCUGGAGUUAUACGAAAAAUGGUAUAUUCUCGGUAUGAUCAGCUUAUUCUGUGGAGUGGAAUUAUCAGUAUGGGAGUAAACUGAAACAUUCUAACGGGAUGGGGCGAGACAACAAACCCUAUAUGGUGUCAUAUAUGGAAGUUAUCUUGUCCAACAAAAGUCAAAAAAAUUAUAUGGCGUACAUUACAUGGCACUCUCCCAUGCAGGGCAACACUCACUAAUAGACACAUGAAGGUCUCGCCCUUCUGUCCUGCUUGCUCUCAGUGUGUAGAAGAUACAAAGCACAUGCUUUUUCCUAUGUAUUAAAUCAAAGGAGGUUUGGAAAAGGCUAGGGAUGGAUGUGACUAUUGAUAAAGCUUGUGAGGUUGAUCGUGCUGGAGAGGCGAUAUUGGAAUACCCAUUACUUUUUCCAGAUCAAGAUUUGCGUAUUAUGGGGUACAAAAAUGUACGAGAAAUGAUAGGUAUCUCAGCUUGGUAUCUAUGGUGGGAAAGACAGAAAUUGGUGCACAAGGAAUUAACUCAGAAUGCAACUCAGAUAUCAAUGGGGGUCACAGCUCUUACACACAAUUUUGUAAACGCGUCAUCUUCAAAGGCGUCCAUAAAAAAGGGGGGUUGGCACUGUCCCCCUAGGGGCUCCAUGAAACUCAAUAUUGAAACCUCUUUUGACCAUGACAUGCUGAAGGGUACGAUGGGGGCGGUCUUGAGAGAUGACAAAGGUAGGUUUAUUGCAGGUGAAAAUGGAAAGAUCGACUACUGCUCAGAUGUUUUGAUAGCAGAAGCCUUAGCUCUCAAAUUUGGCCUAACUUUAGCGGAAAGGGCGGGGUGUAAUCACCUAAUCAUCAACUCAGACAAUUUUGAGGUGGUUGAGACCAUGCAAGAUAGAGGACAGUCAGCGGGUGCACCGGUGGCAAUUUUUGAUGAUUGUUAUCACUAUGCAUGUGAUUUUAUCAUGAAUAGAUUCAAACAUUGUAAUAGAGAGGCAAAUAAAGUAGCACAUGAACUUGCUAGGUUAGCUAGAUUUUCUUUUGACUUUGGAUUGGUUUGAGGAGCCUCUCAAUGAAAUUGUACUGAUCCUCACAAACGAUGUACUGCUUAUUUCUAAUGAAUAUUUUUUUGUUUUAAUUCAAAAAAAAGGAGUAUAUGAAGUCUCCUCUCUCUUCCUACCAUGGUUGAGUGCAUUAUGAUGUGGGCGGCGCACGGUAUCUCGUGACAGUGACGCCAGGGCGACAUCCCUGGAUGGCUAUCCGCAUGGUGGCUCUUUGGGGGGCAUCAGAGCAUCUAUAGCCAGACUUUGCAAAUCCGGCCCCUCAAACAUCCGCGGACGUGACCGGGCGCGUCCGCGGAUAGGUGACCGGUUGUAAGUGCAACAAGUGCCCCCUUAGUGGUUUUGGAGUAUUGAAGACAAAUAGAUUGAGAAACUAAUGUGUUUGUGAGUGUACACAUGUAAUAUAGUCCUUGAAGAUUUGGUUUAACACAUGGAAGACGACCCCUAAAAAUGUAUUUCUUCAAGUGAAGAAUUUGAUGAUGAAAUUGCUACGGCCUUUGAAGAAAUUGAUGUGAAGACUUUGAAGCUUGAAGACUUUUGUUUUCGUAGUUUCUUUUACUCUUAUUUGAGUCAUAGAAAAACUGUACUGUUAAAGGGGGUCUAGGUUAAACAUAUUUCACAUUUCCAAAGUGAUGCUCAAACUUACACAAACCUAUACACAAAAGCUACUUCGAGUGAAGCCUUUGGAAAUCUCUUGUACAACUGAUAUAUUUGCUAGUGACAGUGAUGAAGUUCAUCUGGUCGCUGACGAAUUUGGUCACGCUGAGGAGUUAGGAGUUUGCCAGUGUGAUCUGCCUAAAAGUAAGGAAAUUGAGUGCCCCAACGAAUUUGAGAGUUCAAAUUCCGACCAUUGCUGCGCCGCGUGCCAGCUGUCAAGUGGAUCCUUAUCUUGACAACGGCCGAGUCAGAGAAGGGCAUUUAUGACAAUUCAUGUCGGGUUGCCCUGGCUAUAAAUAGCCACCCCUCACAACCACUUGUUGGUUGGCUACUCCGAGAGAACUUGACACUUGUCAUUUGAGAGCAACCCAUCCUCUGACGACUUUGAGAGAAUCCUAAGUGAGGAAAAACCCAGAGCAAAAGUGACUGAGCAUCACUAAAGAGAUUGAUCUAUGUGAUCUGACGCCUAUUACCUUUGAAGAAUGUCAUUCUUCCAAACGGUUAGGCAUCAAGUUUUGAGUACACCAAGAGUCAUUGUGGUGUGCUGGUGAACAAGUGUGUGAAGAUUUUGGAAGUCUACCUUGAAGACUUACCACAAGUGAUUGGGCGAGGUCUGCGGGCCUUAGCUCAAGAGGAAUACGGUGAGGACUAUGUGUCCUCCGAGUUGCGACUCAGUCGCCUCAACCAGACGUACAGUUGAUGCAGCAACUGGAACAGGUCUACCAAAUUGCAUUGUCUUCACCAAGCCAAUCUGGUUUAAAAUUCCUCACCCUCUCUUACAUUAUUCCCCUGCCAAACAAUUUGUGAUCUAUGCUCUGACGAAUUUGAACUGAAGUAUUUCAUCAUGCUAUCUUUCAUUUCCUCAGUUCUCAUCCCUCAUGCUUGUAUGAUUGCAUGUUCUUCACUCUUACGUAUCCUGAUUGCAUGUACUUUGAUUCUCUGAUGACUUAGUUUUCCUUGCGUCUCUAUUUCUUCACUAUGAUCUUCGUCAAAUUUCUCAGUGUUUGACGAAUAUCUAAAAAUCUCCCGUUCACCCCCUCUGGAAGAUAACAUGUGCUUUCAAUUGGUACCAAAGCAAGGACUCCCUUGUUCUGUGUGAUACUGGUGCUGUCACAACCCUAGCUUAGGCAUUGGAUGUCAUUGCAUCAUCAUCAUGUCACCAUGUUUAAAUUCAAAUGAAUUUGAAAUGGGGAUUGAUAAACCCUAGCACCAAAUGAAAUUUAGUUAGGUUAAAAUGAAAAUUUUCAAUGAACCCAAAAUGCCCUUCAAAAAUGUUCAUAAUUUAUGGCACAAGGUGAAAACGAAAACCAAAAAUGGUGCACAUUUUUUUAGGUCAUGGUUGGGCAUUUAAUUAGUCCAAUAUGUAUUUGAUUUUAAGCUUUAAAAUCAUAUAAGUGUUUCUACAGCUCCAAUAAUUUUGAAAAUUUGUGUGGGGCCCUGGAAUAAUUCAGUUGGCUUCCACACAAAAAUUCAGCUUUUACAAAAUUGAUUUGGACUACUAACCAAAUUGAAACAAACCCGCAAAAUAGAAAAACAAUAAUUAAAAUAGAAAUAAAAGAGAGAGUAAGCAAACUUGGCAGCCCACUUACCUGGCCCGCCAUCGAAGGCCCAACCCACAAGGACAACCUCAUCUUCUACCCCUGCCAGAAGGCAAAAGCAAACCAGAGCUUGAUGCCAGCCGCGCCAGCUCCUGCUUCGCGCUGGCGAGCUCCCCUUCAUCCCAAUCCACGUUGGAGAACACCCCUAUCCCCUCUCGCUUUCCCCAACUCUCUCUAGCCUCGCAUCCCUCCUACUUUGUUCGACUCGAGCUCACCCGAGUGUAGCUAUGGCCGCGCAACUCACUUGCGUGUGCACCGUCGACGUAGCGCCUCGCCACCGUGUCCUAGAGCUCCGCCUUGAUGCCUUCUUCAUCUCCGUCAAGCCAUGCAACCGGGGAUGCCUUGCCUUGCCAGCUGCGUCGCCUUCUUCAACCUCGGGCCGUGAGACCGCCAGUGGCCUUGCGCUAACCUUGCUACAUCCCCGAGCCCGCCGAGCCUCUCUUCCGAACCACAGUGAGCACUCAAUCCUUUUCGCCGUUGUCCCGUUGCCCCUCACAUGCUCUAGCUGCCACUUCCGCGAACCCGAGCACCGUCGCUGAUGUCUACUAUGCAACUUUAUACUUGUAGACUCGUGUUUGGCCUCUAAGAGCAGAGUUUUGUAGGACAGUAGCAAUUUUCCCUCAAGUGGAUGACCUAAGGUUUAUCAAUUCGUGGGAGGUGUAGGGUGAAGAUGGUCUCUCUCAAACAACCCUACAACCAUAUAAUAGAAAGUCUCUUGUGUCCCCAACACACCAAAUACAAUGGUAAAUUAUAUAGGUGCACUAGUUCGGCGAAGAGAUGGUGAUACAAGUGUAAUAUGCAUAGUAGAUAUUGAUUUUUGUAAUAGGAACAAUAAAAAACAGCAAUGUAGCAAGUAACAAAAGUGAUCAGAAACGGUAUUGCAAUGCUUGAAAAUGAGGCCUAGGGUCCGUACUUUCGCUAGUUCAAUCUAUCAACAAUGCUAAUCUAAUUGGAUCAUAUAACCAUCCCUCAAUGUGUGAUGAAGAAUCACUCCAAAGUUCUUACCGAGCGGAGAACAUAAGAAGAAAUUGUCUGUAGGGUACGGAACCACCUCAAAGCUAUUCUUUCCGGUCAAUCUAUCCUAGAGUUUGUACUAAAAUAACACCAAACUAUUCUUUUUGAUCGAUCUAUCCAAGAGUUUGUACUAAAAUAACACCAUAUGAUACACAUCAACCAACUCUAAUGUCACCUAGAUACUCCAAUUCACCGCGAGUAUUCAUGAGUUGAUUAUACAAUAUAUAUAUAUAUAUGCAUCAAACAAUUUCAGAUUCAUAAUACUCAAUCCAACACAAAGAACCUCAAAGAGUGCCCCAAGAUUUCUACCGGAGAAACAAAGACGAGAACAUGCGUCAACCCCCUAUGCAUACAUUACCCCAAUGUGACCUCGAGAAUCCACGAGUUGAGUGCCAAAACACAUAUCAAGUGAAUCAAUAUGAUACCCCAUUGUCACCAUAGGUAUUCAUAUCAAGACAUACAUCAAGCGCUCUCAAAUCCAUAAAAGCAUUCAAUCCGAUAAAAUGAAAUCUCAAAGGUAAAACUCAAUUCACAACAAGAUAGAGAGGGGAAAACACCAUAUGAUCCAACUAUAUUAACAAAGCCCGCUAUACAUCAAGAUCGUGACAUCUCAAGAACAUGAGAGAGUGAGAGAGGUUAAACACAUAGCUACUAGUAAAAACCCUCAUCCCUGAGGGUGGACUACUCCCUCCUCAUCAUGGUGGCCGCUGGGAUGAUGAAGAUGGCCAUCGAUGAUGAUUUUCCCCUCCGGCAGGGUGCCGGAACGGGGUCUAGAUUGUUUUUUUGUGGCUAUAGAGGCUUGCGGAGGCGGAACUUCUGAUCUAGGAGCUCCUCGAGGGUUUCUGGAAUGUGUGGCAAUUUAUAGGGCGAAGAGGCGGUGUGGGAGGCCACCGAGGGGGCAAAACCCCCCAGGGUGCGCCUGGGCCUCCUGGCGUGCCUUCGUGGGUUGUGCCCACCUCGGGCCUCCCCUCUAGUACUUGUUUGGUCCACUGGUGGUCUUCUGGUCCAAAAAAAUCUCCAAAAAGUUUUGCUGCAUUUGGACACCGUUUGGUAUUGAUUUUCUGGGAUGUAAAAAACAAGCAAAAAUAGCAACUGGCACUGGGCACUAUGUCAAUAGGUUAGUCCCAAAAAAUGAUAUAAAGUUGCCAUAAAAUGAUUGUAAAACAUCCAAGAAUGAUAAUAUAACAGCAUGGAACAAUAAAACAAUAUAGAUAAGUUGGAUAUGUAUCAGCAUCACCAAGCUUAAUUCCUGCUCGUCCUCGAGUAGGUAAAUGAUGAAACAUAUUUUUUGAUGUGGAAUGUUGCCUAACAUGUUCAUCACAUAUUCUUUUAUUUUUAGCAUGGACAUUUGGACUUUUAUAUGGUUUAAAGCAAUAGUCUAGUUUUGACAUGAAGAUUUCAAUACUCAAGCAUAUCAACAAGCAACCACGUCUUUCAAAAUAUCAACACUAAAGAAAGUUAUCCCUAGCCCAUCAUGCUCAAUCAUUGAUCCAUUCACAAAACACAUUCGCAUAUUAGCUACAUCCAAUGCACAGGUAUGAGCAUAGUACUCCCUAAUUGGUUCUUUAUAAGAGAGGAUGGAGACUCGAAUAAAAAUAAAAAAUUGCAUAAAAGUAAAUAGAUAGGCCCUUCGCAGAGGGAAGCGGAGAUUUGUCGAGGUGCCAGAGCUCAAAGGUAAAAUUGAGAGAUAAAAUUUUUGGGAGGCAUACUUUUCCUGUCAAUGAAAAUGACUGAGUAAUUCCCAACACUUUCCAUGCUAGGUAUAUCAUAGGCGGUUCCCAAGUAGAAAAGCUACUGUUAUUCCUAAUGAUAAGAAUAAAUUGAUUCCACAAAGAAUUGUUACAGGUUAUAGAAUGGCAAUUCAUUUCCAUAAAUUAAACAAAGCUACUAGAAAAGAUCAUUACCCACUACCUUUUAUUGAUCAAAUGCUAGAAAGACUAUCCAAACAUACACAUACCAAGUUCACAUGAUUACUUGCAACAUGAUUUCUCCCGUGACCUCAACAACAAAAGUAACUACUCACAAAUGAUAUUCAUGCUCAAGAUCAUAGGGGUAUUAAAUAGCAUAUUGGAUCUGAACAUAUAAUCUUCCACCAAAUAAACCAUAUAGUAAUCAACUACAAGAUGUAAUCAACACUACUAGUCACCCACAAGCACCAAUCUAUAGUUACGGUAACAAGAUUGAGCACAAGAGGUGAACUAGGGUUUGAGAGGAGAUGGUGCUAUUGAAGAUGUCGAUGGAGAUUGCCCUCCCAAGAUGGGAGAGUUGUUGGUGAUGAUGAUGACGAUGAUUUUCCCCUCCAGGAGGGAAGUUCCCUCGGCGGAAUCGCUCCGUCGGAGGGCAAAAGUGCUCCUGCCCAAGUUCCGCCUCGAGACGGCGAUGCUCCGUCCCGAAAGUCCUCUCCUGAUUUUUUUCUAGGUCAAAAUGACUUAUAUACCAGAAGAUGGGCACCGGAGGUGGGCCUGGGUGAGCACAACUCACCAGGGCACGCCUAGUAGUUAUUUGCUCCAUUAUUCCUCAUAUAUUUGAUAAAAAAUCUCCGUGAAAUUUCAGCUUGUUUGGAGUUGUGCAGAAUAGGUGGCCUGACGUAGCUUUUCCAGGUCCAGAUUUCCAGCUGUUGGAAUUCUCCCUCUUUGUAUGUACCUUGCAUGUUAUGAGAGAAAAGGCAUUACAAUUACUCCAAAAAGAAUUAUUAUGGAUAAAAACAUCAUAAAUAACAGUAAGAAAACAUGAUGCAAAAUGGACAUAUCAACUCCCUCAAGCUUAGACCUCGCUUGUCCUCAAGCGAAAACUGAAAUCAAAAAACAUUUCCACAUUCUUAGAGAGAGAGAGGUGUCGAUAAAAACAAAAUAGGACAUAGAAGCAUCAUGUUCAUUAUUAUAACAGCAAUAAACUUAAACAUGAAACUUUCAUCAAAGAACUUUCAUCAUAGACUUCUCAUGAAUAAGUGACAAUUCAUCACACUAUUGAAGUAUAAAGCAAAAACUCUAUUAGAAACUAACAAACUAUGUUCUCAGUCAACUUUGCAACUACAAUUCAUCAUAUUUUCAGGAAGGGUCACGUAUCGGAGCCUUUAGGCAAGUCCACAUACUCAACCAUCAUAUAGUCUUCUAUGAUUGCUAACACUCACCGCGUACACAUGAGUAAAACGUUUCAACCGGACACAUAGAAAGAUAGGGGCUUAUAGUUUCGCCUCCCAACGUUUUCACCUCAAGGGUGAUGGCAACAAUAAUAACGCAUGCUAUCUAUAUUCAACUGGACAAAUGUGCCUAUAUCUUUCCUCGCCACAUGAUGCUUGCCAAAGGAGAAAAAUAAAAAGGAAUAGAAGGAAAACUUUGACUUUUUACAUAAAAGUAAAUACAUAAAAGUAAAAUAUAGGCCCUUCGCAGAGGGAAGCAGAGGUUGCCAUGCACUUAUUUGUUUGUAUGCUCAACCCCUAAGUGCAAAAGAACGUCAUGUUGCAUUGCCCCUUGUGAUAGCGACCUUUAUUAUGCAUUCUGUCGCUUUUAUUCUUCACCAUCACAAGUUCGUGCAACACUCAAUUUUCUCUUACACUAAAUGAUCUCACACUUUUAGAAGCAAUUUUUAUUGCCUUUUUGCACCGAUGAAAACUUACUUGAGGGAUCUUGCUCAAUCCCUAGGUAGUUAUGGUGGACACUUGAAAAUAAGAUUUGGGUUUACGAGUUUUUGGAUGCACACACUACAAAAAAAUACACUUCCGUGAUGAUACGUGUUUGUCACAGUAGGUCGCGUUUUUUGUCAUGCAUGUACAUCCAUGACAAAUUUAUGACAGAAUCAAGAUAGUCAUACCUGUGCUGUCGUAGAAGUGUUCCAUGACAUUACCAAAAUUAUCAUCACGGAAGUGUCCACUUCCAUGACGAUAAAUCGUGAGUCACAGAAGUGCUUUCGUCAAGGGUGACCGACACGUGGCAUCCAUCGUAACGGAACGCCGUUAAGCUAUCAGGUCGGGUUUUGGAUCCGAUAACCCGUUAACAGCCCCGACCAAUGGGGAUUUUCCACGUGUAAAAUCAUCAUUGGCUGGAGGAAACACGUGUGGGCUCAUCGUCGGGACAGAUGUCAUCCACUCAUUGGACAGAAGGCGCCUAUGAUACAUUGACACGUGGCACGGCCCAACAGAGGCCCAUUCCUGUGAAAAGGCCAGCCCGUUUGACUUGGUCAAAAGGUGGCGGGCCGGCCCAUGGAAAGCCUGUUAACGGCCUGUUCGUAUAUAGCCCAUUUACAGCCUGCUAACCCAAGGCCCGUUAUGCCCUAUCCGAAUUAGGCCCAGUAGCAUCAUCUGGGCCAUCCAAUAUGAUUCCAGCCCGUUUUCACUUCUGGCCCAUGUAUGGCCCAUGACGUCUUUCGGCCCAUAUGAGGCCCUAUGUAACUCUUGGCCUAUUAACGGCUCGUGAUGAAACUGGCCCGUAAUGAACAGUGUAUCACUUUACACCCAUUAACGGCCCGUGGUGAAACUGGCCCGUAAUGAACAGUGUAUAACUUUAUACCCAUUAACGGCCCGUUAUUCCGUUGGGCCGUCUCCAGCCCAUGUUGUCUUUCGGCCUUCUCAGAGCCCAUUUAUUCUUGGGCUCAUUUCCAGCAUUCGUUUACUUACAGCCCGUUACUGUCAUUUUCUGCUUGUGGGCCAAAUUCAACCCGUGGUUACAGUCGGCCCGUUUGUGGUCCGUUAAUACGUUGGGCCGUUUUCAUAGCGUCAUCAAAUACGGCCUAUUAAUGAUGGCCCGUUAUGGUCGGCCCAUGAACGGACGAUUCCAACUCUAGCCUGUUUACGACCAGAAUGCGGUCUGUUUGGCCCAUGUUUGGCCAAUCGAUCAUACGGCCCGUAUAAGGCCCAUUGAUGAUACGGCCCGUAGAAGGCCCAUUGAUGAUACGACCCGUAGAAGGACCAUUGUUUCUACGGCCCGUAGAAGGCCCAUUGUUUCUACGGCCCGUAGAAGGCCCACUGUUUCUACGGCCCAUAGAAGGCCCACUGUUUCUACGACCCGUAGGAGGCCCAGUGUCACUACAGUAAAUAUUAGCCCAUGGUUAUUGUGGCCUAGUUUUUAAAAAAUAGGUUAUUGCAGCCACUAGCAAACCGCAGAAAAAGAACUGCACUGACUACAAGCAAACAAAUAAACAAGAGAACAAGGAAAUAAAUAAUCAAGCAACUUACACUAGGCUAUCACGGCUAUUACACAUAUUACAUCCACUGGGCAUCAAAGUUCGCCACCAGUGCAAAUAUAGGGAACACAACAACAUAUAAACGCCGCAGCAAAACAAGUCCAGAACUGAAACCACUUCAGAAGAGCUCAAGAAACAAUAUCCUGGGUACUCAUAAUGCUGGCAAGAUGCUUAGCAAGCUUAUUAACUUUCUCUUGUUUGGCGCUUAAGUCCUCCAACGCUUGCUGUUGGACCGGAAAUUAUGCAUCUGAAUGCUGCAGGGACUUCCUCAGUCCUUUGGCUUCCUGUCGCAUAACAUCUGAUCGAUGGCUUUCAACUUGAAGUUGAGAGUCAGGAAGCUGAACUGAUUUAGGCAAUGAGUUCGAAUAGCUGGUGCCAGCAGUGGUAGCCAGUAACUCGAACACUACAUCAAGACAGGACUUUGGGGUUGUCUCAGUGUCUUCAAUAUAGUUUUUAUCAGCUUCCUUGGAGACCAACAGGGAUGUCUCAGUAUCUUGAACCUUAUCUGCAUUACUUCCUUUACCAUUGCAUAACAGGGUACUCUUCUCCAAUAUUUUAUCCGCGUUCUAAAAGAGAAACAAACAAACACAUCUCAGGUUUACAAUGUAGUAUAUGAAACUCAUUUUGGUAAACCAGUUCAAUAGUAAGGUGGACAGGAUAACAACAUGAAACAAACAUAUAUCUAUGUAGUAUGGUCACUGUAUGGUCUAUAUCAUUCUAGUUUAUGUUGCCAAAUCAAGAUAGAUACAGUUCGAAUCAUAUCUAUUUAAGACAAAGCAACAUAGACAGAAUAUAAGUGUGGGAAACUACACAGCAAUAACAACACUUAUAAUGUGCAUGGCAUGAGAACAUAACUGUUUAUUCAAUUGAAACUGAAAUCAACAUAGAGCAAGUUACAACAGCAAACAGCCAAACACGUUGAAGAAACAGGUUUAAAACAUACCUGUUGCACCAUUGGAGUUUCAAUCGCAUCCUUCAAAUUUGAAAUUAGUUGGUAUCAGUAAAUACAGUGAUGCAAGAGCAAAGUAGUAUGAACCAUAGCUACGGAACCUGACCUGAGAACAAUUCUUCUUCUGCUUUAAGCGUUGACUUCGGGUUCGGAGUGGUGGUCCUCGUGAUUUGGGCACUGCAAUUGCCUUACUAACUUCUCGUGUUUGGGUGCUCUGUGGUGGAGACGGUGUUGUGUCAACAGGAACUGGGUGUCUAUCUGCUGGGGAUGGGGUUAGAAGGGGUGUAGCUGGUUCUCUGUCCAACUGGGUAGGGGUACAAUCUGCAUGAGUGUGGGUUAUGUGUGGUGGGGCUGGUUCUUGGGCAAGUACAACCGUGGUUCCAUCUGCAUCGACAGGUAGCACGAUUUUUUCUGAAGACCGUGUUUUUACUCCCACAGAUACUGCCAUCACUCCCUCCAAUUGAAAUGGCUGAUAAACAAGAAAAGUAAUUGAAUGUACAGACAUUGUAAGAUAGACAGGUGCAAUGGAUAGUAGGGAAGAAAACAUGGCAUGAAAUAAUUCACAUUUAUGUUGUCUAAGCAAACAGAAUAGCAGGACAUAAUUUCACAUAUAUGAUGGCUAAUUAAACAGGAUAGCAUGACACAAUUUCACAUGUAUGAUGGCUAACUAAACAAGAUAGAAUGACAUACUUCAAAAUAUGAUGACUAUGUAAACAGGAUGACAUGAUAUAACUAUACGAUGUGUCUAUUAAAGUGAUUGGCAUGCCAUAAAUCACAAACAUGUCGUCGAUGGAAACAUGAUGGCAUGAUAUUCAUGAAUAGAAUGACAUAAUUUAAAUAUGAUGACUAUGUAAACAGGAUGAGAUUAUAUAACUAUAUUAUGUCUUUAGAAAAUGGGUUGGCAUGCCAUAAUUCAAAUACAUGCUGUCUAUGUAAACAUCAUGGCAUGACAUAAUUCAAAUAUAUGAUUUAUAUACUAAGGAAGUGAGCAGAGGGCAAUCGCAUAUAUGAUGUGUCAACUAAGGAGAUGUCAUUCAAUAUUGUGUAUAUGAUGUAAAAACUAAGCAUUGCAAUACAACAUAUGCAUUAUAUGAGUAAUAUAACCCUGCCAAGUCUGAGCAUACACCUCAGGGGGAUAAUAGGACUCGUCAUCUGCCUCUGAAUCCUCCUCUGAAGAGCUAUCUGUAACCAACAAGAUAUCUGCUUCAGCAGGUAGCAUUGUAUGCUCUGAAGACCUUGUUUUCACUCCAGAUUUCUCCAUCACCAAUUCAAAUGGCUGAUGCACAGGAAGAGCAGUUGAAUAUACAAACAUUGUCGACAAAAGCAAUGAGAAAUACAAAAAAGGACGGAAUGAUAUAAUUCACAUAUAUGACGCUUGCCUAAACAACAUGGCAUUGCAUAAUUCACAUACAUAAUGCCUUGCAACAAGAUAACAUUGCAUAAUUCACAUAUAUAAUGUCUUGCAACAAGAUGGAAUUGCAUAAUUCACAUAUAUGGUAAUUAGACACUAAACAGGUGGCAUUCACACAAAGCAUGUCUAAACUAAGCAACUGACAUAGCAAUGCAAGAUAUCAUACGCACGAUAUGAGCAACAUAACCCUGCCAAGUUAGGGCAUGCACCUCGGGGGGAGGGGGGGAAUAUGACUGUUCAUCUAUCUCUGAAUCCUCCUCUGAGGAGCUAUCGGUAACCAGCAAGACAUGCGCUUCGUCAGAUAGCAUUGUCUGCUCUGAAGACCUCGUUUCCACUCCAGAUUUUUCCAUGACCGUACCAAAUGGCUGAUACACAGGAAGAGUAAUUGAAUGUACUAAAAUUGUUGACAAAUUUAACACGUAAUAAAAAAAUGAUGGCAUGAUAUAAUUCACAUAUAAGAUGACUGGCUAACCAGGGUGGCAUUGCAAAAUUCACAUAUAUGAUGCCUGGCAAGACAAGAUGGCAUUGCAUGAUUCAAAUAUACGAUAAAGAAACUAAACAUAUGGCAUUGACACAAAGCAUAUCUAAACUAAGCAGAUGACAUCUUUAAUGUAUACAGUAAGCAAUGCAAGGCACCAUAUGCAUGAUAUUACCAACAUCAGCAUGCCAAGUUAGAGCGAAGACCUCAUGGGGUAAAUAGGAGUGGUCUUCUCCUUCUGAAUCCCCCUCAUAACAGUUAUCUUCCUCUUGAUUACGAUCCGAAAUGGGUGGAGGGGGGGCUGCCUUUGUGCCCACCAUGGAAUGACGUCUGCAUGAAAUUUUAUUGCCACGCAAGGCUCGUCUCUUUUGCUCUACAUGAUCAGUUCCAUUAUGUACAAUAACUGGCAUGCAUAGGAAUAAAACAUAGUGAGAUUAUGUAAGGAGUGCAUGCACAAAUCCAGAGUGAUGGUAGCAAACCGUGGAUAGACCCAAAACCAAUGAUAGCAGGCAGAUAAUAGCUUUAGUUAAAAAAUACAGAUAAUGGCUCCUUUAAUGUUUGUUUGCACCCAACAUGAAACUCAUAGUAGACACCGGAGAUUAACCAGAUAGUAGUCAGAUAGUACUGAUUGCUGCCCCAAUAUGUACCCCACAACCAUUUAAAAACUCAAGUUUCAGCAUUAGUUUGGACCUGACUUGGAGUCUAAUAGGUGAACACGAUGAUAAUGUAGCAUGUCAUCAUAUUAAGCGACGCAUAAUGUAAGAAGACAUGGAAGAGUGCGACCUCUCUUGCGGACCCGUGUAGUCGUCAAGGUCAUCUGCUCAGUUGAUGAUGGUAAUGCAGUUGCCGUGGCUGCCGGCAGCGGGGAAGAAGAUCUGAGGCGGCGAAAGACAGUCUGGAGAGCGGAUCCCUGCUGUGGUGAACCCUUCCAUUGUUGGAGCAGCUGAGCUGGGGUGGAACACAGCGCCGCAGGAGCAGGACAAACCACACAAUGUUUUCUUUGACACAUAUCUGUAACAGAAGUAAUUGAGUAAGGGCUUGUUUGAAUUUGAGGAUCCUAACAAUGCAGGGAUAGGAAAUAGAGAGGAAUAGGAUAGGAAUGCACGUGCAAAACAGAGAAUUUAAAAACACAUGAUUUUUGCCAAUCUGGGUGUUUGAUUCACAACAAUUGGAAGAUCACAGGAUGCAAAAAAGCAUGGUGAGAUUAAGUCAAACCACAAGAAAAUGUACGAUUAUAAUGCUAUUAUGCUACUAUCUCUUAGUCUUGUGCUUGAUGAAUAGGAAUAUGAAAAGGAGGAGAAGUGGAAAUUAGAAUUCCUACGGUUUUUCUUUCAAGGAGACACUAAAGGAACAAAUCCUACAAUUUUCCUUUGCUCCAUUCCUUUGCACCAAAUUCAUGAAAAGUAGUACCAUAGGAAACUUUCCAAUUCCGAUGUUUUUCAUUCACUUUUCCUUUCAAGCACUGGCGAUUCUAGUAGGCAGGCUUGAGCAAGGAAAAUCCUACACUAAAAAAUGUUUUUGUGCUACUUCUAUUACUUUGGACCCAGGCCACUGCCAUACUAGCUCAACUCCCAGGCCCAUCAACAAAUGCACAGCUCAAACGCGCAGAGAUAAAUAAUGAUGGCGUUCAAGAGAGUCCAUCACGGAUAGCUAAGUUGCCUGGUACCUCACUGCUUGUCAUAUAGUAGGAUAAAAUAAUCGCAUUUCCCGUUACUACGAGUGCUCAGUGGACAAUAUAUAUAACAUGUAGAGUAAAAAAGAGAUGCAGCAAGUGUACAACCUCUUUGGCGAAGCCAUGUCGAUCUCAGCGUGAUUGGGUUGGCCGGCGAGGAUGCUCCGGCUGACUUGGCUGUCAGAGGAGGGGAAGAAGAUCUUAGGCGUCUGGAGAUGGAGCCCGAGAUACUGCUCCGCUGUGAUGGAGGGUUUCGUCGUUGGAGCAGCUCCGGUGAGUUGUACGACGCCGAGGCUGAAGCAGGACAAGAGAGACAACAAACAACGUUAACCUAAGUGGAAUUCUAAUAGCAUCUCCAAUACAUGAUGUAAAAUACAUAACCACAAAGUGCUAGAUGUAAAAUACAUCAGCCGCUCAUCUCUGAACUUAACUGUCGAAACUGAAUUUAACUGUCGAAACUGAACUUAACUGUCGAAACUGAAUUUUGCUGUCGAAACUGAAUUUUGCUGUCGAAACUGAACGCACUAGCAAGGUGAGGCUACACGUCGGUCGACUGACUUUUUCAACUCUGGUCAGUCGAUUUUGCAGCCGUUGGAUACAGAAUCAAGGGCCUGUGGUUCAUCUUCAACCUCCACCCCCUUGAGCCGGCCAAACAACAGCCCCCUGCCACCCGCGGCCGGCGGUGCGCUGCCCCGCCCGCCCCGAAAACACUCCCCACCGCCGGUCCGCCGCCGCCCCGGCCAUCCCUCUAGCCCCCCCCCCGUGCCGAGCUUUUUCUCCGGCGAUCCCCACGCCACCGCCCCACCAACGCCCCGCCACCACCGGCGACCACCGCCCCCAUCCUGAACCAUAAGAUAGAUAGUGGGGUACCUCUCCGGCGAGCCCCCCUCCCCGCUGCGGCUGGUUCUUCCUUCACCCCGGCGGCAUCUAAGUGAAGUGUAGCUAAAUCGGAGCAGCAUCGCAAGCAAGAGCAAGAGCAGAGCAGCAGCGCGAGCAAGAGCAAUAGCAAGAGCAGACCAGGCAGGGGACCGAGAGCAAGAGCAGAGCAGCAGCGUGAGCGAGAGCUAAAGCAGCAUCAGGUCCUACUGAUGUGGACGUCACCGCCGAGGGAGUGAUGCCAUGGAGGAAGUGGCUGGCGACGCCGCCGUGGAUGGAGCCGCGCCGUGUCGGCUCGGGACCGAGCGCCGGCAGCACCGUGAGAUCGAAUCAAGAAGAAAAUGCAGUGAUUAGUGUACAACCUCUUUGGUGGCGCCGAUUAGGCCGCAACUUCAUCCGAGGAAAUGGUGAUGAUGAUGCUCUUCCGGUGGUGCAGGUGAAGACGGCGGUGUGGGAAUGGAGGUGGCGUGAAAGACGAGGGGAACGUCGGGGCAGCUCCUUGGAGGUGGAGGACGGGGUGGCUGAACCGGCGGGACGAUGAGAACGACGACGGAUCCUCAUCCGGUACGGUGGAUGAGGGAUGUCGAGGUGUUGCUGUGGACGACAUCAUCGGGGAGGAGGCUCCGGCUGGGUGGCGGACGGAGCAGGGUGUGGGGUUUCAUCGCAGGUUUUUUCGCGGCCUCGGUGUACGAAUGGGUGGGCAGAUGGGAUGGCAGUGGGGAACCAUGGCUUAGAGACACGCUUGUCCGAAAUGUGGGGUAAGUUACGAAAGUACCCCCACCGAUUUGAGGCGGUUCUUUCGGUUCAGGGGAACCACGGGCAUUUCGCGUGUCGGGAUUUCACAGGAGGUGGGAGUUUUCGCGCGCGUUGUAAUUUCGGAAUAGCAAGACACGGGUUGAGAUGGAGGGAGUUGUCGGAGCACAACGAGACAAAGAUAUAUCUUAAAUAUUUCGGGCUAACAAGGCGCGGGUUGAAGAGGCGGGAGUUUCGCAGCACGAUAGACAGAGACGCUAGCUUGAAUUUUCGGCAUAACAAGGCGCGGCUUGAAAUUUCGGAAGAACAAUCUUAACGUGUACCCAAAAAAAGACAAUUUGCACCUCAACACGCACAACACACACAUAAACACCAUUUAGACUAGAGUAAGGUACACGUGCAUUGCACGCAUGAGAUUUGGCAACCAAAUUAUGAAUAAAUACCACAUUAUAGCAUGCAAGCUUUGAGUCAUAUAUGCAUGAUGUAGAUGUUCAUUUAAUUCUUAUAGUUCAUUUCAUUCAAAAUCAUCUAGUUUUUAUAAGCAAGCUAAUCUAUUUUAAGAUUCAUGGAAUUGUGCGUCGUAAGACAUAAAGUAAAAACAAAUAAUGGCAAAUCAUGUAGGAAAACAUUUGGGCAAUUCUGAUACGGAAGAUUCUAGAACAAAUAAGAAGUGCUUGUGUUUUGAUGUUUGUGCAUUAUGCUUAAGUUCAACUAUGGAGUCUUCUAGAUUAUACAUGUGGCGAAAUCUGGUGGAACCUAGAUGAUAUCCAACGGCCAGUAGUGCUCAAAUUUGCCAUCUUUGGACCAUCGGAUUCACCUCAUCCAACGACCAUCUUUCAAAGUUAAAGUUACCCGCACACAAUAUAUAAAAAAUAUAUAAUAUAAUAUAUAUAUAUAUAUAUAGGGUAUAGAUAUAGAUAUGUGAUGAAAAAUCCGCCCAUCAUCUCCAAUUAGAAUAGUGUGUCCAUGCGCAGAUGCGACAUGGCCAAAUGAUGUCUGCCAUCGGUAUCUCAAAUUCAAAUCAGUCUGACCUUGUUCAAUGUGUAUACAUUACAACAUGCUCGUUUCCAAACCACACCGUGCAGAUCUCCGUUAUAUUCAUGCAUGCAUGGGUUUCAAAAAUCAGGAUCUCUUAUUCAAAUAUUUGAAUUCAACUUUACAUUGAUUGUGACCUCACCUAUUCAGCUAUUCUUUUACACCCACAUAGUAGUCUUCUCUUUAUAAUUGUACCACUAACUUUCUCUUGUGCAUGCAUGCACACACACUAUCAGUCGGCAUUAUCCAUGGCACGCAUGCAAUAUUUUUCUUCAGGUUGGUUUCCCAUGAAGGCACACACCAACACACAUCCCCCUCUCCAUCAUAUCGGGCAUUCUUUAUCUCUCACGCGUGCAUGCGCAACGAUCGAUGUUCCUCUAUGUAUGUGUGUAUAUAGCUAGGUCUUUCAUAGUUUUCCACACAAACCAAUCAAUCGAUAUAUCCAGUGAGGUCUCACCCUCUUUCCCACGUCCACAUCGAUCAAUCCAUACCUCUCUAUAUAGGAUUAACAUAUAUAGCUAAUACACCCACAUUAAUUAUGUAUCCAACGUCCCCCUCUCAUCAUCCAUGCCUUCCGCUUCAUCUCUCAGACGCGUGCACAAUGGUGAAGACAUGGGGCAGUAAGGGCCCUGCCCCCUCCCCCCUAACAUCACUAUAUAUCAAGGCUAAUAUGAAUGUGAUCAUUAGACAAUUGCUGCUAAAAAUGGUUUAAGUUCAUGAAUUGACCCUCCUCGUAAAGGAUUAGCAAUGCUUGGCCCCCUAGCUCAUUUAUUUUUCAUGGCUUCGCCACUGCGCGCAUCAGCGCAUGUGUUCGCCCCCCCCUCUCUAAAUAUCGAUCUCGCACUUGUGCAUUCCUUCAUAGUCUCCCUCCACUUGGCCCCUCGCACCAUCUUCUAGCCCCCACCAGAUUUUGCCACAUGUACAAUCUAGCAGACUCCAUGGUUGAACUUAAGCAUAAUGCACAAACCUCAAAACAACAGUGGUUCUCUUUUGUUCUAGAAUCUUCCGUAUCAUAACUGCCCAAACUUUUUUCUAGUUGAUUUGCCAUUAUUUGUUUUUGCUUUAUGCUUUACAACACACAAUUCCAUGAAUCAUAAAAUAGAUUAAGGGCUUCUUUGAUUCAAAGGAUUCUCAAAGGAAUUUUGGAGGAUUCUAAUCAUUAGGAAAUUUUCCUAUCUUGGUUGUUUGAUUCGUAGGAUUGUAAACCAUAGGAAUGUUUCCAUAUGAUUCAUUUGCACUAGAUUUCAUAGGAAACAUCCCAUCCACUCAAACCUCUUUGAAAGAAUUCUGCGUUAUUUCUAUGCACAAUCAAACACUCGUACAAUCCUGUAGGAUUCAAGACGACAUUCCACUAUAAUCCCAUGUUUUUCCUAUUCCCGCGUACUUAGCUUUUUUAUAAAAACUAAUUGAUUUUGAAUGAGAUGAACUAUAAGAAUUAAAAGAAGGGCUACAUCAGGCAUAUAUGACUCAGAGCUUACAUGCUAUAGUGUGGUAUUUAUUCAUAAUUUGGUUGCAAAAUAUGAUGCGUGCAAUGCACGUGUACCUUACUAGUACUUCGAGUAUGUGCAUAACACGUAAAUUAGAAUACCAAUGGCACGCUACACAGUGUCUGUCUUACAAUUCAUGAAGCCACGUGGCACAUGUGUAGGCGUUGUCGCGACCUCCUUGCGUGGAUUGAUCACAGCGACGUGCUGCUGGUUCCAGAAGAAUGUACUCGUCCUCCCUGAGCCAUAUGGCGGUACAUGCACGAAGUGAAGAUGUGCACACACGCCAUGCACGCACUCAUUCCUCGCACGCACAUGCGGGUACACGGGCGGACGCAAUUUUGUACCAAGAUCCACCCCAUGUGAUAAUUUGACGCGUGUAAAGUCGUUCACUUCAUUGAUGGUCAAUUAAUACAACACAUGCAAAUUGAGUGGACGUGAGGGCGGAAGAAAGACAUUAUUACUCCACUGCGCGCAUGCGAGUAGUUAAAUCGUGGGUUGCUAGUAGUACUUCCAUUGGUCUCCGUCAUAUUUUGUGCCAAUUUUUGACAGUAACAUGAUAUUUACGCAUUUCAGCAGUGUAGUACUUGAAAUUUAUGUUCUGCUAAAACUCAUCGGGAGCCGUUUCGGGCCUCGAAACCAAAACCAUCAAUUAAUCUUUACCUUGUUCCCAUCACAUUCGAAAGCCUGCUCACACCUACUAGUAGUACGUACCAAACCUGAAUGUGUUCCCACUAUGCAGGUAUUAGUUCUGGUGCUAGUACUUAGGUUAUAAAAAGGGGAACUACCUAACCAAAAAUCACUCUACCUUUCCUCCUCAUAAGUGCUUCUUCUUCGUCCGUCAUUGCCAUGGCCGGUGAGCAGAGCUCUAGGUUGAGAACUACUCGUAACAAGGGAGCGGCAACCAAGGCUUCGGAAAAAAAGAGAGGGCUCACCACCACGCAGAGACCUCGAAAGAUCUCUCACGGGCAAGCGAUGGCUCCCAGGAGCGCCCUAGCCGCGGAGGCGAACAUGCCAAGCCGGUGGAGCUGGAGUCGUUAUCCCUCAACGGCAUGCCCGAUCAGCUCAAUAAGAAAAAGGAGUUCAUCCAAGGCUUGAUGGAGUUGCUUAAGGAGAGCCUCGACGACAUGCCCGCUGAGCUCAAUCAGCAGGGGGAGUUGAUCGCCGGCUUGGUGAUGCUGCUGAAGAAGAGCAUUGCCUCGGAGAAGAAGGCGACCGGCGAAAUCCUGCGACUUCGGGAGGACAAUGCGAAGCUCUGCCACGAGAUCGACCUGUUGAAGGAGAAGAACGCCUGCUGGAAGAAGCUGCAUGAGAAUAGUAGUUCCUCGAUGAAGAUGCUGCAGGCCCUCGCCAUGGAACAGAAGGAAGAGUUGGCGAAGCUCCGCAUCAGGUACCCGACUGCUGUCAAGGUACGUAAUAUGGCCGUGGUACAAAUGAUGAAGGCUCGCGUCGAGAAAUGCCGCGUCAUGGACACAAUGAUGAAGAUGGCGGAGGAGACGCGCAAGGAGAUGGAGGUCGUGGAGGCGAUGAAGAAGCAGUUAUGACUCUGCAGCGAAUUAGAUCAUUUGGGGUGAUAAUCUUCCUUCUUAUUUUGCUCCUGUGUUUCAUCUUUUGCUUCGGGUGUUUCGCCGCACGUGGCAUGUUCUCUGCGAGGCAUGAAUAGAACAAUGUUUUUUUGAGGGAAUGAAUAGAACAAUGCUAACAAUGAGAUGACUAGCAAAUUAGAUCAUUUUUAUCGCCAUAUGGCACUGGGCUGCCGUGUUUCGUGCUCCUCCGUUGCAGUACUACUCCGGUGGAAAACUUGAGUAUACCGCACGGUUCUUUGCUCCUCCUCGAUCAGGUCGUCGGUGCAUUUAUACGAGCAGUCAAAUCACAAGGCCCCGCCUUCUAGCAGUAAUGAGCCAUCAAAUCAUAAAGGCCCUCACCUCUCGUGAAACCGACCAAGCUAGACUGCCCCGCCCUCUAGCCUUUAAAAAAAUGUAUACUUUUGUACAACAGUAGUAUCGAUGGAUUGCGCCAUGGAGCAAAACUUGAAAUUAAAAAAAGGUGGUACAUAUAGAGAGCGCUCAUCGCCAAAUUAUGCAUAUAGUACUAUUAAAAAGGCUAGUCACAAUAAUGGUGUACAGCACAACCCACCCCUCAAAUAAAACUAAGAGGGUGCUUGGAUACGUUUUAGUCCCAUGACUAAAAGUAGUGGGACUAAAACAUGCUAGCCUCACCCAUGCUUGGAUCCAAAUACUAAAAAGGCUAAAAUCAAGUUAAUGAGCAUUUAUUAUCCUCCAAACCCUCCAAUCCAGAACUCGCCCAUGUUAAAGGAGAGGAGUUAAAUGAGUAGAGAGAGGACUAAUCCACAUUUUAGUAGGGGUACCCCUGACUAAAUUUGUUUAGUCUCAAGACUAGUUUUAGCCCCUCUUUAGUCAGGGGUGCUUGGAACUUUAGCCUCUUAAAGAGACUAUUUUUAGUCAGACUAAAAUAAGUCCCUUGGAUCCAAGCACCCUCUAAGUAUUCUGGAAUUCUUUGACAAAACUAAGCACCCUGAAAUUCUUUGACAACUAAACUGCUGGCUAUAUGAUGUUGGCCAUAUAUAUUGUACGUAUAUAAUGUGAAGAAACGGGUGGUAGUACUAUACCAACUAAAAGAUGAAAUAUAAGAAAUACUAGUAUGUACGUACUGAAGAGUUAAAGUAACAAGAAGAAACAUAACAUAGUUCUGCUGGGGGCUCAGCACAACACACCCCUCAAAUUAAAUUAAGCACACCUAAAAUUAAACUUUGCAACUAUUCCGGUAGACACUGCAUUAGAACCACCAUGAGCAACGACACUGCCACCUUACUCAGAGUCCUCGUCCACGUCCUCGACUUCGUCCUUGUCCCUCUUCCUCUUGGCCGAUACUUCUUUUCUUGAACCGCACACUUGGCUGUUGCUCUUCAUGCAACCCUUGUAGAUAUUGAAGCAAAGGUAGCCAUCCAUUGCAGCAUAGUGGAUGUGGUCUAUAUCUAGUACAUUCCGCUGCCAUGCAUGACGAUGAAACGUGUAAUGAGGUUUCUCCAGUUUACCGUACGAAGGAUGAACCAUGGCUCCUGCCAGGGUUAGCAUUGAAGGCUGACGAGAGGACACCAACCGAUUCUUCUGGAGGUCGAAGGUGUUGCCUACAACGAGGCCUAUCCGACGCAGGACUUCUUUGUCGUUACCAAAGUCUACAGUAACGAAUUUCACUGUUUUGUCCUUGAGGAAGUUCUUAAAAUCCUUGCACUCAACGUUGGCAUGGCAUAUGUGGUAGACCAAGCAAACAUUAUGUACGCAAACCUGGAUCACGGCAGGCUUCUUCCUCUCUUCGUCCUUUAGAUCCUUCUCUCAUCCCAGAACUGUGGUGUACUCAACAUCUAGCCUAGCGACUCACUCAUCAUCUGAGUUUUCGAACAUGUGUCUGAAGCGAGAAAGGCAUCCUUUCAUUGUCGCGGAAGAACGGGUGUAGAUGACGUCAAACUCAUCUCCGACGAUGGUUCUAACCUUGUACUCACCACCGAUCGUGGAGAUUUGGGACACCAUGGAUUUGGGAGGAGGUUUAGGAUUAGUGGAACUGCCGUAAUGUGAAUGGACGGGACGACUAGGAGCGAACCGCCGUAGUAUUGAAGGACGUUCGGGGACGAGUAGGAGCGAACUGCCAGCGUGCGAAUGGCAGGGUAGUGGCUUUCCAUUCUCCCAUGAUACGGGCUUCUGAGAGCCCUUGGAUCUGAGAUAGAAUGGUUGCAUGGCGUGAUUCUAGACCUAUGGGUGAAUAUCCUAUCCUGGAGGGUUAUUCUGCAAAUUUCAGCAACUUAGCAUGCGACCGUUUGAUCUUAGAUCCAAGGGCUGCCAGCAGCCCGUAUCAUGGUCACGCCUACGACGAUCGCCGCGUCACUCGCGCCCUUGGAGAUUUAACAUGGUGCGUUAGGCUAUCUGAUGUUGGCAUGUCAUACAUAGUCAUCACUUAGUCACUCAUACUACAACAAGGUUGGCUAUAAGUGUAUUUUUUUACUCCUCUCUAUCUCUUUCUUCGUACUCAAGGAAGAAAUGGUGCUAAGCGUGUGUAUUUAUUGCAUUUCCCAAGGAGUGACCUCUUCCAAUGAAAUGGUGUUUCUAAGUUUGCUUCAUUUAAUUAGCUAUAGACUCAAAAUUUUCAUUUCACCUAGGUACACACGCUUAGCACAGUUUCUUACUUGGGUCACCAAACUAGUCUCUCUCUUCUUGAUUAACUUGCCACAUCAGACUUUAUGCCUAUGUGGCAAGCUUAAGCACCUGUAGGAGCAAGUAAAAGUAAGUACAAUAGUGCGCUUUACAUGGCAUUUUUGCACAUGUGGAGGAAAUAGAGGCAAGGAAAAAGUGGAGAAGUGGGCUCUCAUGCAAGAGCCAGCCUCUACUACAUGGUGGAGCAUUGGGAGAGGCACCUGUAUGGAGGUGGUCAGGAAUCUGGGAGACUCACACCGGUCAUAGCGCCGCAGUUAAAAUGAUAAUGGCAAGUCAAAUCAUGGGGCCCCACCUGUCCAGCAGUAACUUGCUGACAAAUCAUACAACCCUACGUUUGCUGUAGCCUACUCCCUCGUCUUCUCACGUCUCUGUCAAACGGACUAGGCGGAACUGCCCCGCCGCCUACCGCGCAGGAAAAGCCCCGCCCUCAACUUUUAAAUAGUAUACAGUAUACUAAUUUUGUAUCCAUGGAUUGCGCCCGCGCCAUGGAGCAAAGCAUCUACAAAACGAAGGAGAGACGGUGGUCUUGCAAUAGAGAAGAGGGAGAGGCGAGACGGUGGUUUUGGAAUGGAGAUGAUGGAGAGGAGAGGAGGUGGUUUUGCAAUGGAGAAGAGGGAGAGGAGCAUGCGGCAGCGAUUUAGGUGGUGUUUGGUUCUCUAGUCCUAGGACUUUUUCUAGUCCCAACUAAAAAGUCCCUAGUCCCUAAAAAGUCUCUCCCUGUUUGUUUUCAGAGACUAAAAAGUAUCUAGUCCCUUCCUAGAGGUUAUUAAAUGACCAUGUUGCCCCUAGUAUAUAGAAAAAUAACAAUCAAACAACACCAUGGGGUGGCGGUCCAAUGGGUGCAUGGAGGGGCAUUGUUGGAAAAGUCCCAAAAAGUCCCAAAAAGACUCUCCUUGAGAGUCUUCUUCAUUUAGUCCCAAAUGCCUAGUUUAGUCCCUAAAAAGGCCCUCCUGUUUGAUAAAAAGUCUCUAAGAGGGACUUUUUCUAGUCCCUACACAAAAAGUCCCUGGAAACAAACACCCCCUUUGGAUUGGACGAGAGGGCCGACGCGCUUUGACUGGAUCAAAAUCAAAAUCAAUUUACCCUUCAAUUAAGAAAGCAACCCCACAUUAACUAGUCUCCCUUUUAUUUUGGGUCAUAAUUGACCAUGAUUUUCGCACAUAAAAUAUAUGUUAUACGUUGUAUACAAGGCCACUAUCAAAAUUACAAUUUGCAACUAUAGAAGGCCACUAACAUUAAUCGAGGCAAAAUUGAUGGCGUUUGCCUCGUACUAGCACCCGAGGACAUUAAUAUCCCUUGUGUGCAUGCGGGAGUGAGAAGGUUAGCUUGCAUUCCCAACAUUAAUCAACCAAUGAGGAGUAAGAGGGUUGGCUUGUUGUGCUUGGGAGAGAAAAACCACAUUAAUUAACACGACAAUCAAGGUGACAAUCUAGCUUGCAACAUUGACUUAAACAUAGCUUUGAUUUUUACCUUGGUACCUGUAAUAUGAGUUUGUGGCCUUGUAUACAAAAAUGGAGGGAGUAUAAUUUGAAAGUACAUUCAGAUACGAACCAAACGAUACAAUUUUUGGUGACAUGCAUUCACAUUUUUCUUGUCAAAUAUAGUACGUGGUCAAACUUUGACCCAAAAUACGCGAAACAACAAAAAAUACUUCCAAGACCAGCGCCGCUCUUGCGCUCUUCUCCUCUUAAACCACCGCCGCUCCUCUCCUGUUCCAAUCUAAAUGCAGCGCCGCUCCUCUCCUCUUCCAUUUCAAAACCACCGCCCCUCCUCUCCUAUUCCAGUCCAAAACCAGCGUCGCUCCUCUCCCGUUCUAAUCCAAAACCAGGGCUGCUCCUCUCCUCUUCCAUUCAAAAACCACCGCCGGCGAGUGAAGGUGCUGUGGAGAAGUAGAUCGAUGGAGGAGUACAACCGAUACAUGAGGAUCGUAGACGGCGACCCUGUGAAGCUAGCUAGGAUGUUGGAGAUACAAUAUUGGUUUGACAAGAAGGACCAACUAGCGGCGACGGUGACAUCCAUGGCCAAAUAUCUGCAAAAGAGCGAAAAUGCGGCGAUACUCCCGGAGGGAGUCACGCCGGAGUACAUAGAGCUGAUCCUCUGGGCCAUGGAGCAAACAGAUUCACCGAAUCCGAUCGUGAGGGAGCGGUGGUGGGAGUAUCGAUCCCAGAUGGAGCAUCCACCAGAGAUUGAAGGAUCGAGCAUCUACAGGGUGCCGUUUGUGAGGGUGUCCUACCAGAGCGAGCCGGUGGAGUCUUCAUCGACCGAACCCAACUGCAAGAGGAGAAAAGCAGUUGGCCCAACGACGCUUCCCCGCCAUCGUCUCCCUCACCGUUCACAUCGUCUCACGGGGCGGCUGUCUGCCACCGAGGAAUAGGAGGGGGCUGCCCCCCAGCCCAAUAGUCGGGCAGGUUGUGAAUUGUCAGGAGGAGCUUAGGGUUGUCAGUAUUGGCAUGUUGUGAAUUGUGUUUUGUGUUGUGUAUUUUGAGAGUACUUUCAGAUAUGAAUGUCUUUUGAAUUUCAGAUUUGCAGUAUUGAGCAUAUAAAGUAUUUUAUGAAUUCUAGAGAUCUAUUUUUAGCACUUAAAAAAUGUAGUUUCAUAGGAGUAUAAAAGUGCAGACAAUGUGAUUCUCAGAGAAGAAACUGCAAGUUUCAGUUUUAGAUAAGAAACUGCAAGUUCAGUUUCAGAUAAGAAACUGCAACUUUCAGAGGCGGAGCAUUUAUAUUAACACGGCCUUUUCAAACAGGGUUAACAUAAUGUUGGAAGUUUUAUUCAUGGUAGAAAAUGGAACUACCAGCCAGUUAACAUCAUGCUGAUCAACAUUCAUGCAUAGCACAUCUUCAUAUGAUGCACAGUCAAAAUGCCCACACAAUGUCGAGUGUGCGAAACACAGAGAAAACGAGGGACGAAGUUUUGGAAAGUGUUGGACGUGGUUUUGGGCUGCCCCGUCUAGGCUUUCAUUUCUAACAUGCGCAGCCCACGACCUCGGAUGGGAGGUCCAUAGGCCUGUUUGUAUUUUCUUAGGGCCGUCAUGUAUCGAUCGGCCUAUGGACCUCCCAUCCGAGGUUUUAUUUUUGGCAGCCCAAUUUAUGUAUUUUUUUGAAGAAAACGCAGAGGUUUGUUCUAUUUUUCUAUAUAGGAAUAGGAACACCAGGUCCAACUUAUGUUUCCCUUCUAACUAUAUUAUAUACAUUUAAAUUAUUUUAUAUGUUGACUGUUUAGUUCACAUACUCCCUCCUUUUCGGUUUAUAGGGCUUAUCUCAAAAUUUUAGUUUUUCCAUUUUAUAAGGCUCAAUUUGGUUGUUUUCCAUCACAUGUUUAGAUUCCAAGGUGCAUUAAAUCAUUGCAUGCAAGUAUUAAGAGAAAAUUGACCAAUGCAUGUACUUUAUGCAUGCAUGCAUUGCAAUUUAUGCAUUGAUAAACAUAAUUUUUUGAAGAAAACAAGUGCAUUAAUUAGGUGCUUUUGCAAACUACAAAAAGUAUUCCACCAUUCAUCAUCUACCUUGGUUGGUGAGAUUUUUGAAUUGAGCCCUAUAAACAGAAAAGGAGGGAGUAAUUGGCAAAUAGAUCUCGCCGCCACCCCUUGCCUCCUGACUCCAGGCGCGCCUGCCCCCCUCAGCAAGUCCGCUCGCGCGCCCCCUGGAGUCGUCGGCCAUAUCCACGGGGGAAUGGCUGGAAGACCGGCAGAUGUACAAGAUGCAUCUCCCACAUGUCUACAAAGCCUUCCCGCGGAUGCUCCACCCGCUCGACUCCGUCGCGCCGGCGGUGCUGCGGGAGACUCGAGGGAGGGGAUGGAGGGAGCCGGCGAUGCCGAUCCGUGACGAUGCUCUCUCUUGGACUAGGUGCACGCGCGAAUGGAGGGAAGCAGAGGAGGAAGCUGCGAGGGAGGAAGCCGAGGAGGGACCGAAUCCGUUCUCUCACUCGCGCAGGUAUGCUCGGAUGUGCAAGCACUACAGGAAACAGGAAAUUUGCCAUCUGUGGAUCACAGACGGCAAAGACCUAAAUCCAGACGGCAAAGAUUUUGCCGUCAGGAAGCAGACGGCAAAGAUAAAUCGGCAAAGAAUACUUUGCAGUCAGCUUUUUAUCUGAUAGACGGCAAAUUCUUUGCCGUCAGCCGAAACUUCUUCGCCAUCUGCCUUAUAACUCACAAACGACAAAGAAAAGUAGUUUUGCCGUCAGCUAGACUACAUCUUUGCCAUCAGCUAUUCGCGUCUUUGCCUUCACCCUCGUAUAUCACAGACGGCAAAUAAUGGGAUCUAAUUAAAAAAAGGAACCACGGCGGUGUUGCUCCAAAACGAUGCGGUCAACGCAUGCAAGUGCAUUGCCAUAUCUAAUCUUUCUUCAUCUUUUUAAGAGGGAAAGGCCUGUCCGUACCUAGUGCCUUUCAUUCAACAUUAGUGGAGUACAAAAUGUAAAUGAGGCUGCGAGAGAACUAGAGUUACAGAAUAGUCCUUCAAAAUUACACAAAGGACCCUAAAACAUAAAAUUAAAAAGCAAUUGGGUCUUUCUUCUUCGCUGCAGUGGCCUGCUCGCCCAACCUUCCAGCCCAACGCCUGCCGCACCACUCUAUCGUGCUGUGCUUGUCGCGCGACCGCCUGGUCCUACUCGUCGCGCCGCCAUCUGGACCCGCUCAGCUGCGUGGCUCCGUCCCAGCCAUGCUCGGGAGGGUCGCAAGGGAGGUCAGGGAUGGGCGGUGCUCGCAAGGCAGAGUCCCCGGCUGCUGUCGCGGCGGAGCUUGCGAGGCAGAGUACGCGACCUCGAGGCUGGCGCCGAUGUAAGGGGUGGAGGCCGUUGGAGGCCUACGGGGGUGACGGGGCCGGCGCCGCAGGAGGCCGGCGGGGGUGACGGGGCGCGGAGGUUGCUGGGGACGAUGAGCGACGGGGCACAGAGGCUGCUGGGAGCAAUGAGCGAUGGGGCGGGGAGGCGCUGGGGGUGACACGAGCAACCAGCCGGGACCGGCGGGCGAGAUACUGCCCAGCGUGGCCGGAGCCAGCCGGCGAGAUGGCGGCUAGCAAGUGGUGGCGGGCGCCGGCGGCCUACGGUGGCGACGGGGGAAGUGGUCGUGGCCUUGAGGUGUUGACCGGUCGGCGUGCUCGAUUUGGUCGAGUGGGAGAGAAACGAGAGGGAGAAGGAGACGUGCAGGUGGGGGAGGGGAUAAGGUAGAGAGGACGUGGCCGCGUGGGUGCUGCCCUGGGGGCGUGUGCAUCGCGGGUGGGUGGGGAGUGGACGGCCUGGUGGGUGGGGAUGUGCGUCUAAGAUGUUGCCAAGUCAUCGAUCCAUGUGAUCGAUCCGCGUGAUGUGCUUUCUCUUUGCCGUCUGCGAAAAAAAUGCAGACGGCAAAGAGCUCGCUUUGCCGUUUGUAAAAUAAAACAUGGACGGUAAAGAAUCUUCACCGUCUGCUGAAAAAAAUAUAGACAGCAAAAAUCUUUGCCGUCUGUGAUUUUGGUUGCAGACGGCAAAGUGACCUCUUUGCCGUCUAUGAUUUUUUUCGCAGAUGGAAAAGUCUAUUUUCCUGUCAGUUUUUCUUUGCUAUCUGUUGAUGCCAGCAAACCCUUUCUUUGCCAUCUGCCCGACGAAAAGAUGACGGCAAAGACGCCCCCUGACGGCAAAUUAUCUGUUUCCUGUAGUGAAGGAUCAUGUGGAUUGGGAGCUGCUGAAUCUAGCCCUGCGGAUCUACUUCAAAGGAGAUUUCUCAAAGAAGCACAUGAUGCCCCACCCCAUUGAGCCACCGAUUGCGUUCGUUCGAUGGGCGAAAGGAGAAGUGAAUUCAGGAGUGCUGGAAAUAUGCCCUAGAGGCAAUAAUAAAAUGGUUAUUAUUGUAUUUCCUUGUUCAUGAUAAUUGUCUAUUGUUGAUGCUAUAAUUGUAUUGACCGGAAACCUUAAUACAUGUGUGAAUACAUAGACCACAACAUGUCCCUAGUAAGCCUCUAGUUGACUAGCUCGUUGAUCAACAGAUGGUCAUGGUUUCCUGAUCAUGGACAUUGGAUGUCAUUGAUAAUGGGAUCACAUCAUUAGGAGAAUGAUGUGAUGGACAAGACCCAAUCCUAAGCCUUGCACAAGAUCGUGUAUUUCAUAUGCUAAAGCUUUUCUAAUGUCAAGUAUCAUUUCCUUAGACCAUGAGAUUGCGCAACUCCCGGAUACCGUAGGAAUGCUUUGGGUGUGCCAAACGUCACAACGUAACUGGGUGGCUAUAAAGGUGCACUACGGGUAUCUCCGAAAGUGUCUGUUGGGUUGGCACGAAUCGAGACUGGGAUUUGUCACUCUGUGUAAACGGAGAGGUAUCUCUGGGCCCACUCGGUAGGACAUCAUCAUAAUGUGCACAAUGUGACCAAGGAGUUGAUCACGGGAUGAUGUGUUACGGAACAAGUAAAGAGACUUGCCGGUAACGAGAUUGAACAAGGUAUUGGAAUACCGACGAUCGAAUCUCGGGCAAGUACUAUACCGGUAGACAAAGGGAAUUGUAUACGGGAUUGAUUGAAUCCUUGACAUCGUGGUUCAUCCGAUGAGAUCAUCAUAGAACAUGUGGGAGCCAACAUGGGUAUCCAGAUCCCGCUGUUGGUUAUUGGCCGGAGAGUUGUCUCGGUCAUGUCUACAUGGUUCCCGAACCUUUAGGGUCUACACACUUAAGAUUCGAUGACGCUAGGGUUAUAGGGAAAGUAUGUACGUGGUUACCAAAUCUCGUUCGGAGUCCCGGAUGAGAUCUCGGAGGUCACGAGGAGUUCCGGAAUGGUCCGGAGGAAAAGAUUUAUAUAUGGGAAGUCCCGUUUUCGUCACCGAAAAAGUUUUGGGUGCUAUCGGUAACAUACCGGGACCACCGGGAGGGUCCCGGGGGUCCACCAGGUGGGGCCACCAGCCCCAGAAGGCUGUGUGGGCCAAGUGUGGGAGGGGACCAGCCCCAGGUAGGCUGGUGCGCCCCCCACCAAGGCCCAAGGCGCAGGGAGAGUGGGAGGGGGCAAACCCUAGGUCCAGAUGGGCCUUAAGGCCCACCCUAGGGCGCCCCCCUCUCUCCCUCUCCCCUCUGGCCGCCACCCUAGAUGGGAUCUAGGGCUGCCGCCCCCUUGGGGAGGGAAUCCUAGAGGGGGCGCAGCCCCUCCCCUUCCCCUAUAUAUACUUGACGUAUGGGGCUGCCCAACAGAUGUGAUUUGAUCUCUCUCUUGGCGCGACCCUACCCCUCUCCCUCCUCGUCUCUUGUAGUGCUUGGCGAAGCCCUGCUGGAGUACCGCGCUCCUCCACCAUCACCACGCCGUUGUGCUGCUGAUGGAUGGAGUCUUCCCCAACCUCUCCCUCUCUCCUUGCUGGAUCAAGGCAUGGGAGACGUCACCGGGCUGUACGUGUGUUGAACGCGGAGGCGCCGUUGUUCAGCGCUCAGAUCGGAAUCGACCGCGAUCUGAAUCACUGCGUGUACGACUCCACCAACCGCGUUCUUGUAACGCUUCCGCAUUGCAAUCUUCAAGGGUAUGAAGAUGGACUCCUCUCUUGUUGCUAGUCUCUCCAUAGAUUGAUCUUGGUGACAUGUAGGAAAUUUUUUGAAUUUCUGCUACGAUCCCCAACAGUGGCAUCAUGAGCUAGGUCUAUGCGUAGAUUCUAUGCACGAGUAGAACACAAAGUAGUUGUGGGCGGUGAUUUGUUCAAUUUGCUUGAUGUUACUAGUCUUAUCUUGAUCCGGCGACAUUGUGGGAUGAAACGGCCCGGACCGACCUUACACGUACGCUUACGUGAGACUGGUUCCACCGACUGACAUGCACUUGAUGCAUAAGGUGGCUGGCGGGUGUCUGUCUCUCCCACUUUAGUCGGUACGGAUUCGAUGAAAAGGGUCCUUAUGAAGGGUAAAUAGCAAUUGGCAUAUCACCGUUGUGGUUUUGCGUAGGUAAGAAACGUUCUUGCUAGAAACCCAUAGCAGCCACGUAAAACAUGCAACAACAAUUAGAGGACGUCUAACUUGUUUUUGCAGGGUUUGGUUUGUGAUGUGAUAUGGCCAAAAGGAUGUGAUGAAUGAUAUAUGUGAUGUAUGAGAUUGAUCAUGUUCUUGUAAUAGGAAUCACGACUUGCAUGUCGAUGAGUAUGACAACCGGCAGGAGCCAUAGGAGUUGUCUUAAUUUAUUUAUGACCUGCGUGUCAAUGAAAAUGCCAUGUAAUUACUUUACUUUAUUGCUAACCAUUAGCCAUAGUAGUAGAAGUAAUAGUUGGCGAGGCAACUUCAUGAAGACACGAUGAUGGAGAUCAUGAUGAUUGAGAUCAUGGUGUCAUGCCGGUGACGAUGGUGUUCAUGCCGCGCCUCGAAGAUGGAGAUCAAAGGUGCAAGAUGAUAUUGGCCAUAUCAUGUCACUUUAUGAUUUGCAUGUGAUGUUUGUCAUGUUUACAUCUUAUUUGCUUAGAACGACGGUAGCAUAAAUAAGAUGAUACCUCGUUAAAAUAUCAAGAAUUGUGUUCCCCCUAACUGUGCACCGUUGCUAAGGUCCAUUGUUCUGAAGCACCACAUGAUGAUACGGUGUGAUAGGUUCUAACGUUCGCAUACAACGGGUGUAAGCCAGAUUUACACACACAAUACACUUAGGUUAACUUGACGAGCCUAGCAUGUACAUACAUGGCCUCGGAACACGGAAGACCGAAAGGUCGAACAUGAGUCGUAUAGUGGAUACGAUCAACAUGAAGAUGUUCACUGAUGAUGACUAGUCCGUCUCACGUGAUGAUCGGACACGGCCUAGUUGACUCAGAUCAUGUAUCACUUAGAUGACUAGAGGGAUGUCUAUCUAAGUGGGAAUUCAUUAAAUAAUUUGAUUAGAUGAACUUAAUUAUCAUGAACAUAGUCAAAAGGUCUUUGCAAAUUAUGUCAUAGCUUGCUCUAUAGUUCUACUGUUUUAGAUAUGUUCCUAGAGAAAAUUUAGUUGAGAGUUGACAGUAGCAACUAUGCGGACUGGGUCCGUAAACUGAGGAUUGUCCUCAUUGCUGCACAGAAGGAUUAUGUCCUUAAUGCACCGCUCAGUGUGCUGAUCCUCGAGCAUCGUCUGUAGAUGUUGGGAAACAUCUGACAUACACGUUUUGAGGACUACGUGAUAGUUCAGUGCGUAAUGCUAAUGGUUUAGAAUUGUGGCACCAAAGACGGUUUUUUGAAACGUCGCAGAACAUAUGAGAUGUUCCAAAGACUGAAAUUGGGAUUUCAGACUAGUGCCCACGUCAAGAGGUAUGAGACCUCUGACAAGUUUCUUAAGCCUGCAAACUAAGGGAGAAAAGCUCAAUCGUUGAGCAUGUGCUCAGAUUGUCUGAGUACUGCAAUCGCUUGAAUCGAGUGGGAGUUAAUCUUCCAGAUGAGAUAGUGAUGGUUCUCCAUAGUCACUGCCACCAAGCCAUUGGAGCUUCGUGAUGAACUAUAACAUAUCAGGGAUAGACAUGAUGAUCCUUGAGCAACUCGCGAUGUUUGACACCGCGAAAGUAGAAAUCAAGUAGGAGCAUCAAUUGUUGAUGGUUAAACCACUAGUUUCAAGAAGGGCAAGGGAAAGAAGGGGUACUUCAUGAGACGGCAAAUUAGUUGCUGCUCUAGUGAAGAAACCCAAGGAUGAACCGAACCCGAGACUAAGUGCUUCUAUAAUGAGGGGAACGGUCACUGAAGCAGAACUACCCUAGAUACUUGGUAGAUGAGAAGGCUGGCAAGGUCGACAGAAGUAUUUUGGAUAUACGUCAUAUUAUUGUGUACUUUACUAGUACUCCUAGUAGCACCAGGGUAUUAAAAUACCGGUUCAGUUGCUAAGUGUUAGUAACUCGAAAUAAAAGGCUACGGAAUAAAUAGACACUAGCUGCAGGUGAGAUGAAAAUAUGUGUUGGAAGUGUUUCCAAGGUUGAUAUGAUCAAGCAUCGCAUGCUCCCUCUACCAUCAAGAUUGGUGUUAAACCUAAAUAAUUGUUAUUUGGUGUUUGCGUUGAGCAUAGACAUGAUUGGAUUAUGUUUAUCACAAUACGGUUAUUCAUUUAAGGAGAAUAAUGGUUACUCUAUUUAUUUGAAUAAUACCUUCAAUGGUCUUGCACCUAAAAUGAAUGGUUCAUUGAAUCUCGAUCGUAGUGAUACACAUGUUCAUGCCAAAAGAUAUAAGAUAGUAAUGAUAGUACCGCAUACUUGUGGCACUGCCAUUUGAGUCAUAUUGGUAUAAAAUGCAUGAAGAAGCUCCAUGUUGAUGGAUCUUUGGACUCACUCGUUUUGAAAAGAUUGAGACAUGUGAACCAUGUCUAUUGGUAGAUAUGCAUGAAGAAACUCCAUGCAGAUGGAUCAUUUGGACUCACUUGAUUUUGAAUCACUUGAGACAUGCAAAUCAUACCACAUGGGCAAGAUGACGGAAAGGCCUCGUUUUCAGUAAGAUGGAACAAGAAAGCAACUUGUUGGAAGUAAUACAUUUUGAUGUGUGCAGUCCAAUAAGUGAUGAGGCAUGCAGUGGAUAUCGUUAUGUUCUUACUUCACAGAUGAUUUGAGUAGAUGCUGAGUAUAUUUACUUGAUGAAACACAAGUCUGAAUUAUUGAAAGGUUUAAGUAAUUUCAGAGUGAAGUUGAAGAUCGUCGUGACAAGAUGAUAAAAUGUCUAUGAUAUGAUCAUAGAGAUGAAUAUCUGAGUUAUGAGUUUGGCACACAAUUAAUACAUUGUGGAAAUUGUUUCACAACUAAUACCGCCUGGACCACCAUAGUGUGAUGGUGUGUCCGGACAUCAUAACUGCACCCUAUUGGAUAUAGUGCAUACCAUGAUGUCUCUUAUCGAAUUACCACUAUCGUUUAUGGGUUAGGCAUUAGACACAACCACAUUCACUUUAAAUAGGGCACCGCACAAUUCCGUUGAGACGACAUCGUAUGAACUAUAGGUUUUGGGAAACCUAAGCUGCCGUUUCUUAAAAGUUUGGGGCUGCGAUGCUUAUGUGAAAAAGUUUCAGGCUGAUAAGCUCGAACCCAAAGCGGAUAAAUGCAUCUUCAUAGAAUACCCCAAAAUAGUUGGGUAUACCUCCUAUUCCAGAUCCGGAAGCAAAAGUGAUUGUUUCUAGAAACUGAUCCUUUCUCGAGGAAAAGUUUCUCUCGAAAGAAUUGAGUGGGAGGAUGGUGGAGACUUGAUGAGGUUAUUGAACCUUCAUUCAACUAGUGUGUAGCAGGGCACAGGAAGUUGGUCCCGUGGCACCUACACCAAUUGAAGUGAAAUCUUAUGAUAGUGAUCAUGAAACUUCGGAUCAAGUCACUACCAAACCUCAUGGGUCGACAAGGAUGUGUACUACUUCAGAGUGGUACGUAAUCCUGUCUUGGAAGUCAUGUUGCGAGACAACAAUGAACCUACGAGCUAUGGAGAAGCGAUGGUGGGCCCGGAUCCCGACGAAUGGCUCGAGGCCAUAAAAUCCGAGAGAGGAUCCAUGUAUAAAAAAAAGUAUAGACUUUGAAAGAACUACUUGAUGGUCGUAAGGCUAUUGGGUGCAGAUGGAGUUUAAAAGGAAGACAGACAAUGAUGGUAAGUGUCACUAUUAAGAAAGCUCGACUUGUCGUUAAGAUGUUUCCCGACAAGUUCAAGGAGUUGACUAUGAUGAGACUUUCUCACUCGUAGCGAUGCUAAGAGUCUGUUGGAAUUAUGUUAGCAGUUACUGCAUUAUUUAUGAAAUCUUGCGGAUAGGAUGUCAAAACGUUGUUUCCUCGACAUUUUUCUUGAGGAAAGGUUGUAUGUGAUACAACCAGAAGGUUUUGUCAAUCCUGAAAGAUGCUGACAAGUAUGCAAAGCUCCAGCAAUCCUUCUAAGGACUAGAGUAAGCAUCUCGGAGUUGGAAUGUACACUUUGAUGAGAUGGUCAAAGAUUUUGGGUUUAUACAAAGUUUAUGAGAAACUUGUAUUUCCAAAGAAGUGAGUGGGAGCACUAUAGAAUUUUUAUGAGUAUAUGUUGUUAACAUAUUGUUGAUCAGAAAUGAUGUAGAAUUUCUGGAAAGCAUGCAGGGUUAUUUGAAAAGUGUUUUCAAUGAAAAAUCUGGAUUAAGCUACUUGAACAUUGAGCAUCAAGAUCUAUAAGGAUAGAUCAAAAACGCUUAAUAGUACUUUCGAAUGAAUACAUACCGUGACAAGAUUUUGAAGGAGUUCAAAAUAGAUCAACAAAGAAGGAGUUCUUAGCUGUGUUACAAGGUGUGAAUAUUGAGUAAGACUCAAGACCUGACCACGACAUAAGAGAGAGAAAGGACGAAGGUCAUCCCCUAUGCUUUAGACAUAGGCUCUACAGUAUGCUAUGCUGUGUACCGCACCUGAAGUGUGCCUUGCCAUGAGUCAGUCAAGGGGUACAAGAGUGAUCCAGGAGUGGAUCACAUGACAGCGGUCGAACUUAUCCUUAGUAACUAGUGGACUAAGGAAUUUUCUCGAUUAUGGAGGUGGUAAAAGAGUUCGUCGUAAAGGGUUACGCCGAUGCAAACUUUGACACUAAUCCGGAUGACUCUGAGGAGUAAACCGGAUUCGUAUAGUAGAGCAGUUAUUUGGAAUAACUCCAAGUAGCGCGUGGUAGCUGCAUCUUCAAGAUGACAUAGAGAUUUGUAAAGCACACAUGGAUCUGAAAGGUUCAGACCCAUUGACUGAUAAACCUCUCUCACAAGCAAGAUAUGAACAUACCCCAUGGGUGUUGGAUUCAUUACAAUCACAUAGUGAUGUGAACUAGAUUAUUGACUCUAGUGCAAGUGGGAGACUGUUGGAAAUAUGCCCUAGAGGCAAUAAUAAAAUGGUUAUUAUUGUAUUUCCUUGUUCAUGAUAAUUGUCUAUUGUUCAUGCUAUAAUUGUAUUGACCGGAAAACGUAAUACAUGUGUGAAUACAUAGACCACAACAUGUCCCUAGUAAGCCUCUAGUUGACUAGCUCGUUGAUCAAUAGAUGGUCAUGGUUUCCUAACCAUGGACAUUGGAUUUCAUUGUUAACGGGAUCACAUCAUUAGGAGAAUGAUGUGAUGAACAAGACCCAAUCCUAAGCCUAGCACAAGAUCGUGUAGUUUGUAUGCUAAAGCUUUUCUAAUGCCAAGUAUCAUUUCCUUAGACCAUGAGAUUGUGCAACUCCCAGAUACCGUAGGAAUGCUUUGGGUGUGCCAAAUGUCAGAACGUAACUGGGUGGCUAUAAAGGUGCACUACGGGUAUCUCCGAAAGUGUUUGUUGGGUUGGCACGAAUCGAGACUGGGAUUUGUCACUCUGUGUAAACGGAGAGGUAUCUCUGGGCCCACUCGGUAGGACAUCAUCAUAAUGUGCACAAUGUGACCAAGGAGUUGAUCACGAGAUGAUGUGUUACAGAACGAGUAAAAACACUUGCCGGUAACGAGAUUGAACAAGGUAUCGGAAUACCGACGAUCGAAUCUCGGGCAAGUACUAUACCGAUAGACAAAGGGAAUUGUAUACGGGAUUGAUUGAAUCCUUGACAUCGUGGUUCAUCCGAUGAGAUCAUCGUGUAACAUGUGGGAGCCAACAUGGGUAUCCAGAUCCCGCUGUUGGUUAUUGGCCAGAGAGUUGUCUCGGUCAUGUCUACAUGGUUCCCGAACCCAUUGGGUCUACACACUUAAGGUUCGAUGACACUAGGGUUAUAGGGAAAGUAUGUACGUGGUUACCGAAUGUUGUUCGGAGUCCCGGAUGAGAUCUCGGACGUCACGAGGAGUUCCGGGAUGGUCCGGAGGUAAAGAUUUAUAUAUGGGAAGUCUCGUUUUGGUCACCAGAAAAGUUUCGGGUGCUAUCGGUAACGUACCGGGAGCACCGGGAGGGUCCUGGGGGUCCACCAGGUGGGGCCACCAGCCCCAGAAGGAUGUGUGGGCCAAGUGUGGGAGGGGACCAGCCCCAGGUAGGCUGGUGCGCCCCCCACCAAGGCCCAAGGCACAGGGAGAGUGGGAGGGGGCAAACCCUAGGUCCAGAUGGGCCUUAAGGCCCACCCUAGGGCGCCCCCCUCUCUCCCUCUCCCCUCUGGCUGCCACCCUAGAUGGGAUCUAGGGCUGCCGCCCCCUUGGGGAGGGAACCCUAGAGGGGGCGCAGCCCCUCCCCUUCCCCUAUAUAUACUUGAGGUAUGGGGCUGCCCAACAGAUGUGAUUUGAUCUCUCUCUUAGCGCAGCCCUACCCUCUCCCUCCUCGUCUCUCGUAGUGCUUGGCGAAGCCCUUCUGGAGUACCGCGCUCCUACACCAUCACCACGCCGUUGUACUACUGCCGGAUGGAGUCUUCCCCAACCUCUCCCUCUCUCCUUGCUGGAUCAAGGCGUGGGAGACGUCACCGGGCUGUACGUGUGUUGAACGCGGAGGCGUCGUUGUUCGGCGCUUAGAUCGGAAUCGACCGUGAUCUGAAUCGCUGCGUUGUACGACUCCACCAACCGCGUUCUUGUAACGCUUACGCUUUGCGAUCUUCAAGGGUAUGAAGAUGAACUCCUCUCUUGUUGCUAGUCUCUCCAUAGAUUGAUCUUGGUGACACGUAGGAAUUUUUUUGAAUUUCUGCUACGAUCCCCAACAAGGAGAUCCACGCCGUGCUGCGAGAUGGGAAUGCUUGACUGGACUCCUGCCCACCAGCACGCCACCGGAGCCGGAGCAGGUGGAUCCCCUACCUUACCUCUCCCCCAAACCUGCAAAAGAUUAAAAUUAGGCGUGCAAUCUUCUUCAAUUAAGCUGUCUGGUGGUUAUUUCUACUUCCUGAAAGACAACAUCUGGCUGGAGGAUGAGAAGGAACCAGGAACUCCGAUGAAUUUCCCCUAUCACAAUGGGGGGAGCGCCGGUUGUGCAGUGGUACAGCCCACCUCUGCCCCAAAUGGGGGCACAAUCUGGGCAGGCUCCUGUAAUUGCCCAAGAUCAAUCUGCUGGUGGUUCUGACUCUCAGAUCAGUGGGAAAUCUCAAGGCAAGAAUCAGCAAAAGAAGAGAUAGGACAUCCAGAAAACUGCUCCUGCCCUGCUUCGGGCCUUAUGGAAUACUCUAAGGUGAUCUUCUACAACUAUGGGGAACCAGGGCAUCAUUUGGAUAAAUGUGUCAAGCCCAAGAGUUGUUUUAUCUGCAAAAUGGUUACCCAUAAAGUUGAGAAUUGCCCUGUCAGAAGGAAAACCCACAGUUAUGCUAGAUAUGUUGGAAGUGCUGCUCCAGGAUUAUGUCCACCAUUGACAGAAUUUUCUGUGACACAGAAUUAGAUAGUUUCUUUCCCCUUUCUAGUUGUAGAGCUCUGCCUAGAUAUGGUAGUGACCACACUCCUUUGCUCUGGGACUCUAGUCUUAACCAAACUCCAAAGAGCAAUAGUUUUAAAUUUGAAAAGUGGUGGUUGCUUAGAGAAGAUUUUACUAAGCUAGUCAGGAAAAUCUGGAAUGAGCCUCUGGGAGCAGCUGCACCCUAGAAAAUUGGCAGAUCAAAAUAAGGAGAUUUAGAAGAACUACCAAAGGGUGGAACUCCAAUGAGGAAGCUAAUCUUAGAAGAUACAAAAGGCUUCUCCUCCUUGAGUUUGAUUCUCUAGAUAUUAAGGCAGAAACCACUGACCUCUCUGAGGUUGAGACUAAUAGAUUAAACUUUGUCCAUGAAGAGCUCAAGAAAAUUUGGCUUCAAGAAGAAAUCAAAGCCAAACAAAGGUCUAGAGAUAGGAACAUUAAGGAGGGUGAUAGAAAUACUGCUUACUUCCAUGUAGUAGCUAACCAGAGGAGGAGGAAAACCCUCAUUCACUCCCUUGAUGGCCCUAAUGGCUCUGUUACUGAGGUAGAUGAGAUGCUAAAAGUGGCUAGUGACUUCUAUAAAGACCUGUUUAAGAAAGAAAACCCUUCUGGGUUCUCUCUACAAAACAAUUUUUUUCUCUGCUUCUGAAAAAGUCUCUCCUGCUGAAAAUGAACUGCUAGAAGCCCCCUUUUCAGAGACAGGGGUGAAGGAAGCCAUUUUUAGCUCUUAUCCUGAUGGGGCUCCUGGUCCUGAUGGGAUUCCCUUCUUGUUUUACCAGCAUUUUUGGGACUUGGUGAAAAAUGAUCUCUUAGAUCUUUUCCAAGCCUUUCAUAGAGGAGAGUUGGAUCCAGCAACUUACUCAUGGGGGGUCUGUUGGGGUCAAGUUAAAUAACUGUGAAAGUGAUUUUUUUCCUUGCUGGUAAAGGCCUUAGGCAAGGUGACCCCAUCUCCCCACUUUUGUUUAAUUUAGUAGUGGGCGUUCUUACUAAAAUGCUGAGCAAAGCUGCUGAUCAUAGUCUGAUUGCAGGGCUCUGUCAUGAGGUCUGCCCUGGUGGCAUCAUCUGCCUUCAAUAUGCAGAUGAUACCAUCCUUUUCUUAGACAAUGACUCCACACAUGCUAGCAAUCUGAAAACUGUUCUAACAUGGUUUGAGCAAGUCUCAGGCAUGAGAAUCAACUACUCUAAAAGUGAACUCAUCCCUAUCAACAUGGAUGAUCAGGAGUUAGCUAACUUCCUCUCUAUUCUAGUCUGUAAUAAAGGUAACUUCCCCAUUAAGUACCUAGGUAUCCCUCUCCACUAUGAUAAACUGAGGAGAUAGGAUAUCCAACCCUUCUGGAUAAAAUCAUGAAAAGGAUUGCUGGGUGGAGGGACAAACUUCUCUCUUACAGAGGUAGAUUGAUCCUCAUACAAGCUUGUUUGGCUAGCAUUCCAGUGUAUCUCCUCUCCUUCUUCAAGUUCCCUAAAUGGGCAGUGAACCUCAUCAAUUCUCAUAUGUCUCAUUGCUUGUGGAAUGAUUUUGAGUGAAAUAGGAAGCUACACCUUGCUAAUUGGGCCCUAGUCUCUAUGAAAAAAGAUUUUGGAGGCCUAGGCAUACCUAACCUCCAAGAAAUUAACAUCUGUCUUCUAGGAUCUUGGAUUAAAAGAUUCUAUGAGGAAGACCUGAAACCCUGGAAGCUUCUUAUUACCCAUAAAUACCUAGGAAAUAAACCUAAUAUUUUUGUCCCUUCCUCCAACCCUAAGACCUCUAGAUUCUGGAAAGGAUUAAAAUCUAUUAUGCAUGCUGUGAAAUUUGGCUACAGAUGGAACAUAGGGGAUGGGAGCAGAACCAGGUUCUGAGAAGAUACUUGGUUUGGCACAUCCCCCCUAGCAGUCCAAUUUUGGCCUAUUUACUCUGUCCGCAAUGAGCUUAACAAAAGUGUCAAUGAAGUUUGGGACGGUCAAUGCCUAAAACUCUCUUUUAGAAGGAACUUUAGUGAUAGUCUCAUGGAACAAUGGUUCCAGUUGGAGGAAAUUGCCAAAAGCAUUACCUUUACUGCCGAGCCGGAUGCCCUGAUUUGGCAGCUGGACAAUAAGGGGAAGUAUUCCUCCAGCUCCCUCUAUCAUGUUAUCAACUUUAGAGGGGUUCAACCCGUGUUUAUCCCUGCUGUCUGGAAAUUGAGAUUUCCCCCUAAAAUUCAUGUAUUUCUCUGGCUUCUCUCCAAAACCAAAUUGAUGACUAGGGAUAACCUUAGGAAGAGACACAUCAUAAAACUCCUUGAUUGUGUUUACUGCUUGGAACAAGAGUCCGGUUCUCACCUAUUUUUUGAAUGUAUAGUUGCUAAACAUCUUUGGCCCACAUUGAGGAAUAUUUCUCUAGUCAGAUUGUCUCAUCCUUCGAAUAUGUCGACAGAUUCUGGAUUGCUACCAAAAAGUGCUCAGUUUUAAACACUGUUAGCUCAGCUGUCCUUUGGUGCCUCUGGAAAUAUAGAAAUGCUAUGAUUUUCAGUAACACCUCCUGGAUUUCCAUUCCGCAGGUCUUGAGGUUGAUUAGGAACAUGGUGAGGAACUGGGCGAUUCUCUCCUCCGGAUCGGACAAGGACAAGUUGACGAGCUUCGUGGAAACCCUAACAAGAUCCCUCCAGAAACUGUUGGCGAUCACUUGUGGCUGAACAAGGCUCGACCUGCUCUGGGGCUGGACCCGUGGGCUCGUCUCAAGAUCUCUGAUGAAGAUGAUGGGCACCUGGUGCCGAAAAAGAGGGACAUCCACCAUGCUAUGCCUUCCAGCCCGGUGUCUCCGCUUGCUUACUAGUCGCCACAGGCUGACACAGCCCCUCGGCUAAAGACCAUGAAGGCUUCGCUAGACCCUCCUUGUGUCAUUUGAGUGCUCUAUCCGCCCUGCCUUUGGCACCGCUUGGGUGAUUUGUGUUAUUCAGAGAACUUGUGCAUCCACCCCUAGUUUGUAGCUUUUCUACCUUUGCUUUCGAACUGCUCUUUGAGCUGCUGUAUCAGAAUAUGUUGCGGUUUCGUUCUCAGCAAUGGAACCGGGGAGAUGCUCCCUAUUUUUCUAAAAGAAUAUAUUUUAUAUGUUAUUAUAUAUUAUUUUUAUUGUCAUCAUAUAUUUAACAGAUACAUACAUAUGUAAGAAAACAAUAUCCCACAUCUUAUUAACUUAUAAAAAUAAUUUCUUAACAAAUAAAAUCCUGGAUUGUUUUGGCAUGAAAAUCCUAGUGAUUGUGUACAAAAGCUUGGUAAGAUUUAAGGACGAAUGUAAUAAUAUCACUUAUUAUUUAAAUAUAUUUAUAACAAAAUGCUUAGUCCCUUUUUAUUUUUUGAUAACAUUGCUGGCCCAACCCAACAUUAUAAUUAGAAUCAAUCCAGCAAAAUCGUGUAUUUCGAGAAAGUGCAAAUGGCCUGUAAUUUUUUAGGAAAUAAAAUAAACGGGCUGCAUGGACGCUACAUUAUUUGUUCACCCAGCCCAGCUAAUGGCUGUAAUUCAAAAAAAAGAUCAAAUUGACUAUAAAUUCUACCACUCAAAAAAAGACUAUAAAUUCUAAAAAAAAUGGGUUGAAUACGUGCCACAUUUUUGGAGGCUGAAAUGUGGGCCAAUAGGUCAAAGCCAAUGCAAGUCGUUGUCAAUUUAGUCAACAAAUGAUUCUGACAUGUUAGCCGUUGGAUUUACAUCCAACGACCGGCAUCCAUCUUCAAUCUCUCGUCUUCUUCCUCCAGUGCCGCUGGGACCACCUCCCGCCUCCUGCUGCUAGCAGCUCUGCUUAGCAUGCUUCGCUAUGAAGCGCUACUCCACCAUUGGCUAGGCCAUCCCUCCACCCCUCCACACAUCCUGUUCUUCUCCACCGACUGCCGAACCACACUGCACUAGAACCAGUUAACCCUCGUACACCUCUCUGUUUGUGACUCUACUCCCGCGUCUUCCCAUCUCCGGCUCGUUGCUGUCCGGGGCCUCGUCGUCGUCCACCACCUUGGAUGCGCUCGGCGCGGCGUGGUCAACAUGGUCAACGAACGAUACCAUCGGAAGUAGACUGUGCGUGGAGAGGCUGACAGCUGGGUCCACGGCCGCACACAAGGAAAUGCCUCCUUAUUACACGCAAAAUAAUGAUUCCUCCACCUGACAUCUGGGACCCACCGGAAGGGCCUCUGUAUUUCAUGAAAUAAAGUGCCCCCCGCUGACAUGUCGGACCCACCAGCUAUCUUCGCAUGCAAGGAAGUGCCUCCUUAUUACGCACAAAAAUAUGAAUAUUCCCCCUGCCAGCUGGAACCCAGCAUAGUGGGAGGCUGACUUGUGGGCCUACCAAGUUGACGGGGACGGAGGGCUUUGUCAACUUAGUCAAUAUGAACGAUUCUAGCUCCUGUUACCGUACGAUGUUCAUCCAACGGUCGUAGUGCUUCUUCAACCUCUGGUCUUCUUGCUCUAGCCGCCCAAACCAGCGCCGGUCGUGCCGCGUGCUCCUGCCUCCCGUGGCCGGCUGUGAUGCCGCAGAGGCCUCACUGCCCCCUACUACUCCCACCGCUGGCCAGGCCAUCCCUCUACUCACCCACACCCCCUGUUAUUCUGCGGCGACAGCAGCCUCACACCGCAGCCGAACCAGUGAACCCUCGUACUCCUCUUCGCGUGGGCAUCCACUACGGCGUCUUCCCUGGCUCCGAGUCGUCCCCUUCCUAGUCCUCGCCGUCGUCCACCGCCCUGGUGCUCUCGGCGCGGCGUGGUCAACAUGGUCAACGACCGACUUCCAUCGAAAGAGUACUGUACGUAGAGAGGCUGACAACUGGGUCCACGGCAGCCGCAAGGAAGUGCCUCCUUAUUACGCGGAAAAUAAUUAUUCCUCCACCUGACAGCAGGGACCCACCGGACGGGCCACCAGUAUUUUGCGAAAAAAAUCGUUUCCCCCUGACAGUUGGGACCCACCUGACGGGCCACCGUAUUUCGUGAAAAAACGUUCCCCCCGCUGUCAGCUCGGACCCACCGGAAGUGCCUCCUUAUUACGCACAAAAAAAUGAAUACUCCCCCGGCUAGCUAGGACCCACCUUGCUGGGAGGCUGACUUGUGGGCCUACUAAGUUGACAGGGACGAAGGGCUUUGUCAACUUAGUCAAUAUGAACGAUUCUAGCUCCAGUGACCGUACAAUGUCCAUCCAACGUAUUUCGUGAAAAAACGUUCCCCCCGCUGUCAGCUCGGACCCACCGGAAGUGCCUCCUUAUUACACAAAAAAAAAUGAAUACUCCCCCGGCUAGCUAGGACCCACCUUGCUGGGAGGCUGACUUGUGGGCCUACUAAGUUGACGGGGACGAAGGGCUUUGUCAACUUAGUCAAUAUGAACGAUUCUAGCUCCAGUGACCGUACGAUGUCCAUCCAACGGCCGUAGUGCUUCUUCAACCUUUGGUCUUCUUGCUCCAGCCGCCCAAAGUAGUGCCGGUCAUGCCGCAUGCUCCUGCCUCCUGUGGCCGGCUGUGCUGCCAUAGAGGCCUCACCGCCCCCUACUAUUCCCACCGCUGGCCAGGCCCUGCGGCGACGGAAGCCUCACACCGCAGCCGAACCAGUGAACCCUCGUAGUCCUCUCCGCAUGGGCUUCCACUGCUGUGUCGUCCCCUUCCUAGGCCUCGCCGUCGUCCACCGCCGCGGUUCUCUCCGCGCGGUGUGGUCAACGUGGUCAAGGAACGACUUCCAUCGGAAGAGUACUGUACCUGGAGAGGCUGACAGCUGGGUCCAUGGCCACAGCCCAGUUUUUUGUGAUUUUCGAAGUAAGUCGCUUUGUCAGGCCUGUUGGGCUGCAAAUCUUUCAAGACGAGGAGAGCUUUCAUUCAUCUGGCCGAGAAAAUGUCCCAUCAGUAAUGAGAAAUGGGUUGUACAUUUUUAAAACACAUCAAACCGGCAAUUAGUUUCAAAUAUCUUUUUUUCAUUUCAAGAUUUUAAUUUACAUUAAUUUUUAUGCAUGGAGAAUUUGUUGGAUUUUAUAUUGAUAUACAUUUAUUUUUAAAAUCAGUUUGAAUGUGAGUCAAAAUUUCGGGAUUAAAAACAGUUCGGACCGCACCGAAAUAUGAAAAAUUUCGUAUAAUUUUUUAACCGUUGCCACAAUAUGGGCUGUAAUGCUAACAAAAAGAAUAUGGGCUCCAAAAAAACCAUAAGAAUUAGCAAAUGGGCUGUAAAUUAUUAGAAAUAAUGGCAGAUGGGCUGUAUGUUGUUUUCCACAGAUUUGAGGCUUUCCUAAGAAAAAGGUUGACGCACAAGCACUGACUGUUGGAUGUCCAUCCAACGGUCGUCGUGCUUCUUCAAUCUCUGCUCUUCCUGCUCCAGCCGCUCAAACAAGCGCCGGCGGGACUGCCUGCUCCCUCCUCCUCGCGGCCGGCUGUGCUACCGCGCAGGCCUCACCGCCCGACCAUACUCCCAUCGCUGGCCUAGCCAUCCCUCUACUCACCCACACCUGCUGUUAUUCUCCAGCGACGGCAGACGAACCAGUAAACCCUCGUACAGUCGUACUCCCCUCCGUGUGGGAAACAACUGCCGAGUCUUCCCUGCCUCUGUGUCGUCCCCUUCCUAGGCCUCGCCGUCGUCCACCGCCCUGGUGCUCUCGGCGCGGCGUGGUCAACAUGGUCAAGGAACGACUUCCAUCGGACGUGGACUGUACAUGGAGAGGCUGACAGCUGGGUCCACUGCUGCAGCAAGGAAGUGCCUCCUUAUUACACGGAAAAUAAUGAUUCCUCCACCUGACAGCUGGGACCCACCGGACGGGCCACAAUAUUUCGUAAAAAAAUGUUUCCCCCUAACUGCUGGCACCCACCAGCUACAUCUUCGCACGCAAGGAAGUGCGUCCGGGCAAAAAAAACGAUUCGCCCCCUGACUGCUGGGAUCGUCCUGCUACAUCUUCGCAGGCAAGGAAGUGCCUGACAGUCGGGACCCACCUGGUCGAAGCGUACGUAGCGUUGUCAUUCUGGUCGCGAACGUGUACGUACAUACUGGUCGAUGUAGAGGCGCGCACGUGUCGUAGUAGAGGCACGCACGUAGCAUUUACACGUAUGUACAACAGCCAGGGUGCAAGAAAGAAAAUAUGGCCACAUAUGUGUACAUACGGGCGGGGUCUCGAACGCCUACUCGUGCAUACAUACGGCCAGGGCUCGUGUACAUGGCUAGGACGGAACGGAUAAAUAGUGUCGUCGUCGUGUUCAUGGGGAGGCAACGGAAUGCGUCGUGUUCAUCGAGAGGUCUUGGACGGAACAGGCGAUGGAAACGAGGCCUAGCGUACCGCAGAAUGGAGGAAACGACCUUGUGUUCGACCGGCCACAUUCGAAACGGGAUCUUGUUCAUCGGGAGGGGUCCGGCGUACCGCAAAACGGAGGAAACGGACCUCCUACGGUCGAAACAGGGGUCCUGUUGAUCGGGAGGGGUGUGGCGUACUGCAAAACGGACGAAACGGACUUGUGUUGGAGCGCUACGGUCGAAACAGAGGUCCUGUUCAUCGGGAGGGGUGUGGCGUACCACAAAACGGGACUCCACAGGAUACUAUUCAUCUCCACCGUCGACCCCCUCCAACCUCCACGAGCUACUUUUCAUCCACCGUCGACCUCCUCUAGCCUCCACCUGUGACUGUUCAUCCACGGGGUCCUGUUCAUCCAGCCUCCACCGCACGCUACUCCACCGGCUACUGUUCAACCACCCCUCCACCGUAUACUAUUCAUCCAGCCCUCCACACCACGGGGUCCUGUUCAACCACCCCUCCACGGGCACCCCUCCACCGUCUACUGUUCAUCCAGCCCUCCACACCACAGGGUCCUAUUUAACCACCCCUCCACCGUCUACUGUUCAUCCAGCCCUCCACACCACGGGGUCCUGUUCAUCCACCCCUCCACGGGCACCCCUCCACCGUCUACUGUUUAUCCAGCCCUCCACCACACAACGGGGUCAUGUUCAUCCAGAGGCAACACCACCGCUCACUGUUCAUCCAACCCCCCGCCCCCCCGCAACGCUCAAUGUUCAUCCCAUCGAUCGGCUUUAGUUAGCAGCAGUAGCGAAGGAAUCGCUCAAUCGGGUUCAGUUAACAGCCAUCGAUCGAUCGGUUCAGUAACGUGUAGCCUACAAUGCAAUCGCUCGGGUUCAGUUAGAGCCAACGCCUCGCACACACGCGCGUACGUGUACGAGAGAAACGUGCAUCACUCGGCCCCCGACCUCCCACCGUAACCAGGAACUCCCCGAAAUUUUCCUCCCCCUUGCUUCUACCACGGGUUUUUCCGUCAUGGACGGCCCAAAGAAUGUCAUACAGCUGCGUCUCCGGCCCGCCUAGGACGAAAAGCCCAUUUUCUGUCAUGAUUUUUUGUCAUAGAAGUAGGAGCCCACCACAUCUAUGAUGAUACCGGGUUUUGUCACAAUUAUCGUCAUAGAAGUGUCAUAUGUAUGACAGAAAAAAAAAA
This 71705-nucleotide long non-coding RNA is filed under the name Triticum aestivum (bread wheat). Its description in RNAcentral is "long non-coding RNA (TAES_LNC026046)". The stretch from base 7840 to 7954 matches the Rfam family "MIR1120/MIR1122 microRNA precursor family". The record is from RNAcentral. Lineage: Eukaryota; Viridiplantae; Streptophyta; Magnoliopsida; Poales; Poaceae.